UUUUUUUUUUUUUUUGGAUAAUUGAACAACAUAAAACUUGAUUAGCCUUGUUAUCAAAAUGUUGACCCGACAAUUGGAUGCUAAGAUUUCCAAAUCUUACGCCUCAUUAGAAUAUGUCUAGAGAUCAAUCUACCUUAUGCCAAACUCUCUUUGGCCAAAAGUUCUAGCGAUUGCCUAGGUCUCCGGUAGCCGUCCAUCGUAAGAGGUUGUUAAGACCAUCCAACCCAUCUUCAGUUUUUACUUCAUAAAUAAAGUAAAAAAUAAUGUAAAUAAUGUUUCAUCUUCAACCUUACUUUAUUUUCUAUCUCAUUUUUACCUCAAUUCCAUUUUUGGAGAUAUGAAUAAUAUUCUCCCAAAUAUGAGAGAAUACUAUUCAUAUCUCCAAAAUUGGAGAUGAAAAUGAGAUAUGAUUUAAAGAGAAUGAGGGAAGAAAUAAGGGAAAAAAUGAAGUUUGGAUGUGGGUUGGAGAUGCCCUAAGAGAGGCAUACCUAUUAGGAAGAAGAUAUGUCCUAGGAUCUAUCUAAAUUUUCAAUUUUAUUUAUAAUAGAGUAAAUUAUACGAAUGUCCCUAUCAUAUGAGCUAAUUUGUGCGUUUGGUUCCCAAUUUUUAUUUAUACUAUAUUAUAUUAUAUCAUAUAUAUAUAUAUAUAUAUAUAUAUAACUCAGAAGGUCCCUAAGGUGUAUUUUUGUUACACGUUUGGUCCUUACCAGACAUAAAAUAACUAAGUACCCUUCUUUAUUUAUUUUUUUAAUUUUUUUAAUGGUAGUUUGUUAUUUAUUUAUUAAAUAAAUCUAUUUGAUAAAUAAAGUGGGUAUCACUCCUACCCUUCCCAUCACUCUUCUCGUCGUCUCUUUAGUUUACCAAAUCUCGAUCUCUCUCUCUUUUCUUUAACUAUAUCGGAAACCAAACCAAGAGACAUCAAAAUUCUCCUUCGCCGACGACCUUACCCUUGCCAGCGACCCUUAUCUCCCUCCUUUCCAUCUUUGAGAACUCUAUACACCUUUAAACGAUCUUCUUGUCAACGAGAAUCUCAUCUACAAACGGGUGUUGGUACAUGGUUUUGUCAUAGAAUCACAGUGGGGAAUCAACAAACUUUCUGGAACACCAAUGAACCAGAUGCACCCAUAAAUGAUUACAUGAUAUCUUUCAGUUAUUGCAGGUUUGAGAAUCGAUUUCAGUAGAACGACUUCUCACAGAUAAGGGUCAUCUGAAAAUCAUGAAAGGCAUUGUUUAUGAAUCGGAAGGGGAUCGAUAUACCCUAGCCGUCGACCACCAUCGUACCACCGACCUCCAUUAAACUUUUCUCUUCUACCCUUCCUACUAUUAGACUGUAACGCCCGGAUCCUGGUAUGUAUUUUAAACCAAAUUAUUCAUUUUUGCAAAGGGACUCAACGAGUUGGAGGCCCCAAACUCGUCGAGUAGAAAUGGAAUUUGGACGCGAGACUUGAAGUAUACUCAACGAGUAGGGCUGCCAGAGUGAAACCCUAAUUUUUAGGGUUUGCACCCUAUUUAAGCACCUUAACCUCCAAAUGGUGGCCUCAUUUGCAGCCUCCAUCACCCCAAACCUAGCUAUGAAACCCUAAUACGUUUUUGAGUGUUUUGAGCCAUUCUUGGUACUUUCUUGAGGUUUUGAAGAAGAUGAGACUUGAGGAAAGAGCCAUGAAGUGAAGGAGAAGAGUAUAUCCAGAAGUAGAGCUUCAUUUCUGGUUUACCUGAGGUAUAAAGCUCUUACCUUGCUUAUUGAGUGUUUAGAUCUAGUUUUAGGGCUCUUUCUCGAUGUGUUGGUUCAAUAAUGGUGGCCUUUAGGAUUCGGAUGACCCUUGUGGAAAAAACCUUCAUAUCUAGAGUCGUUGAGGGACUCCAUGGCUAUAAAGUUGCCAACUUUAUGGCCAUGGGAGUCCUAUGCAACUUGUGAACCACCUUUAGGGCCUUUUGAGCUAAAUAACCUAUGCAUGGACGUAAAGUUAGCAAAUUUACGUGGUAACUUGGUCCUAGGGACUAGAUCUAUGGUUUGGAAGCAUUGAACCCGGCUGGAAACGACUAAAUGAGUUUAGACUUUGGGGGACUCGACAAGUUGUUCAUACAACUCGGCGAGUUAGGUCGGGGUCCCCCAACCUUUUUUGUUACUGGGAAAACUCGUCGAGUCUAGGAGAUGACUAGUCUAGGAGAUGACUCAACGAGUUGGAUAAGGCUUUUGGGUCGGAAGAGAGUUCAAGGAGGAACUCGGCGAGUUGGGAGUGGAAUGUCCCGACUCUGUUAUGAGGAAGAACUUGACGAGUUCAUGAAAGAACUCGACAAGUAGGAUCGAGAUUUCCAAAUUUUUAUGGAUCAUGUAACUCGACGAGUUGAUGGACCAACUUGGCGAGUUGAGUUAACCAAGAUGUUGACUUUGACCAGGAUGUUGACUUUGACUUUGACCUUUGACCAGAGUUGAUCCUUAAAAGGUUUAUGAGUAUGAAAGAGUAAUUAAAAGAGUUUUUAUGUGUAGGAGUUUGAGGAGAGUUGAUUUCCAGAGCCGAGGAUAGUUCAGCUACUUCACGACAUUGAGGUGAGUUACCUUCCAGUAGAAGUGGGUCUAAGGCACCAAUAUCGGCCCACUGGUAGGCGAUUAUAGUUGAGAUGACUGUCUUUGUAAUAAUUGUUUGGUAUGCCACUAUCUAUUGUGCUUUAUGUGCUAGUAUGCUAUGUUGCUAUGUGGUAGUUGUAGGGGUGAAAUAGUCCCCGAUUAUCGGUUGAGAGAGACCGAAGGGCGAAGGGGAGGCCAGCACCCAGAUAUGCUAAGAUGUAUAUGGUUUAUAUGUUUAUGCUUGUAUAUUAUGUGGUAGAGGUAGGGGUGAAAUAGUCCCCAGUUACCGGUUGAAAGAUACCAAAGGAGAGACCAACACCCAGAUAUGUUAGGUUGUAUAUAAUUUAUAUGUUUAUGCUAGGAUAUUAUGUGGUAGAGGUAAGGGUGAAAUAGUCCCAAGUUACGGUUGAAAGAGACCAAAGGGGAGGCCAACACCCAAAUAUGUUAGGCGGUUACCGGUUGAAAGAGACCGAAGGGGAGGCCAACACCCAGAUAUGCUAGGUAGUUACCGGUUGAAAGAGACCAAAGGGGAAGCCAGCAUCCAGAUAUGCUAGGCGUUAUGUGAUUAUAUGGUAUGUGGUAUAAUGGGGGAACUCACUAAGCUUUGUGUUUACGGUUUUCAGUUUUUGUUUCAGGUCUUCUUCAAAGGGAAAGGAGUUGGCACGGUAGCAGCACAUCACACACACGAUUUUCCGCAUAUGAGAUUCUUGAGAUUUGUAGUCUAACAUUAUUACUAUCUUAUGACACACUUUUGAAACAUAUGAUCUAUGGUUUUUAUGAAAUAAGAUAACUUGAUGAGGUUUUCUAUAAAUUGUUUUAUGAAUCAUUAAAUAAAGUUUUUGGUUUUAAAUUUUGGGAUGUUAGAUAGACCAUCUUCCAUAUUUCUUGCUACUUCAUCGAUCCUUUUGGCAUAUGAGUCUCAAAAAUCAAGAUUAUAAACAUUUUAAAAAUAGAAAACUUAGAAAAAAAAUAUAACUAACAACCAUUUGCUUCUUAUAUGUUGUCAAAUAUAUAGGGUUAAAUAUAAUAUAUAAUUUUUAUCAAAAAUUAAGAACUACCUUAGAAAAAAUAGAAAACUUAUGUUAAAUUUGUCUUUUUUUUAAAUGUCUUAAAAACCCAUUUUAAAAGGAGAAAAAAAUAAGUUACUAACAACUAUUUGCUUCUUAUAUGUUGUCGAAUGUAUAAGGUUAAAUAUAAUAUAUAGUUUUAUCAAACAAUAAGGUAUCAAUACACUAAUAAUCAACUAGUUCUUUUAUUAAAUUGUACAGUUUUUUCAGUAAUAUUCAGUCAUUUUUUAUUAAAUUUUAAUCGGUGGUACCUAAUCGGUUUUAAUAUGUUGAUCUGAUUGGUCCAAUUUUUUUAAGGUAUACGGCCCAACCCGACCCAACCUCCCACAAGUGUUGUUGAUUUUUUUAUCGGUUUCAUUUUAUUUGGGAAUCAUAUAAUUUUUUGUUGUAGAUUCGUUACUGAUUGUUAGAGUUGUAAAUGGUGAUUACAUAUGUUAAUAUCUUGUCCCUCAAUAACUUGUCCCCGAUCUCUCCUUGAGAAGGAAAACAAUGUUUGAUGUGGUUACAAUCUUCCUUGGUUAGUGACCGCUUGAAGACAUUGAACCGGUUGCAAGGGUCAAAGCACGUCAAACAAUAUUUUGAUGCGGUUACUAUUGCAUUAUUUUAGGGUAUGUGUGGAUUCCAAACAAGACGUUUUCGUAUCUUUUACAAUAAGGAAGGACGUUAUGUUUCAUAAUAUUUUGUUGCAUUCUCUUUCUUGGAUUUAUGUAUGUGUAAAAAAGAUGGCGAUUUUGACUUUUAAGAAAAACUAGUAUUAUAUUUUUUUUUUCUAAUUUGUUAGUUUCUUUUUAUUAAAACUUUUGAUUGAUACCGGUUAACAAAAUAACGUUCUCAACUCAUAAAAGUUUUGGUGUAACGUAAUAAUAUCGGAAAACGAAAUGAUCAAAGAAGUCUUAGAAAUAGGAACCAAAAUUAUAAUGCGAGUAUAUUUUACAUAUAUCUACACAUACAAUUGAUCAUAGUUAAAACCAGUAAGUAACAAGAAGGGUUUUGAGUGAAGUUAAACAAGGGACAUGAUCACAUGAUCAUCAUAAAAUAAGAAAGGAACAUAUACACAAAUACAAAACUAGACAUGAAGGAGCCAUCACAUCCCGUACCCAUUUCUUUGUACUCUCUAGCGUCAAAUAUUUGAAGACAAAGGAAGAGACAAAACUCAAAAAGAAAGAGGAGGCACAAAUAAGUGGACCGGUGUAGUGAUAAGAUGAGCUCCGGUCCAAACGGUCGGGCAUUAGAUGUAGAUUUAGGUAUCCAUGUGUAGUCUAUUUUAUAUUUAUUUAAAUUAUUUCAUUUUUAAUAUUACAUCUUUAUAUAAAGAGAUUUAACCUUUUAUGGGUGAGGUGGGUCUUUAUGUUUUGGUUUUAUUAGACAUAUCUUAAAAUUGGACCCCAUGGGGUGAGGUGGGUUGGUUCUUAGACACAAUCAAUCUUAUUUUAUACUCUAAUAUAAUUGUAUACUCUAAUAUUCACAUAUUAUUUUAUUUUUCAAAACAUUAUUAGAUUACAAAAGCACACAAAUCAAAAACUAAUAUUUUUUGUGACCCAUUGAUCAAUAGUUUUAAUAAACUUUUACACAUUGGUAUGAUAACCUAAUAUGAAUUUGAAUUUGCAAACAUUGGAAAAGGGCAAACCUAAUAAUUUGGCAAGAACCCCACCAAUGAUGCAACAAAACCAAACCUUAUGGACCAACCAUGGCACCAUAAAUGAGAACCCACUAGCCAUGCCUCACUUGUUUUGGCUUGUUUGUUUUUAUUACUAUUUUAUUGGGGGAAAUCAUUCAUGCAAAGGAUGAUUAAUGGUGGAACCAAUGGCUCCCACCAUAGAUGCUAAUUCACAUUGCAAUACAAAUAGACAUGACAUGUACUAUUUGGCCCCAUGCCCUAAAUUUCUCGAGUAAUUUCACUAGUAAUUAUAGAGUUUUAUUACUUUUAUAGUUUGGUGGUAGAUUUGACCUGCCAGCUAUAUUCAUUUUAGGUACAUGUAUGUUUUUUCUGUGUGAUAAUGAAUAAUUUGUUCAAAAAUAGGUGCUUUUUAAAAAAAGAAAAGCUAUAUGUUAUCACUAAGCUUUUUUGUGUCUAGGAAAAAAACAAUUACUUGAAACAAUUAACCCCUUUAAAUUUGUCAAAAGUAGAGUUAAUAUUUAUGAGAUUAAUGAAUAAUUGAAUAAUGAUAAAUAUCAAUUUCUCUUUGAAUACAAUACAUCAUGUUGACUGAUAAAUUGACUACUCAUUAUCGGUUGAAAAUUGUUUUGGAAAUAUAUUUUUAUUUGUAAAUAUUAUAAAAUUAUAAAAUAUUAAAAUAAUAGUUGAUGACAAGCUAUAAAUUAUAAAACUGUUAAUUAAAAAUAUCUGAUAAAAUAAUGAUAUAUAAUUACGAAUAUAUGAUGUAAAUAAUACAUUAUUAAAAUUAAAAAUAAAUUAAGUGGGUAACAAAUAUUGACAGUGUAAGAGAAUUUAGUAAACUUUAAGCUCAAUCUAGUACCAUAACUUUUUUUAUGUAAUGAACAAUCAAAGUGUUUCCGAAUUUGAUAUAAAAUUGCAAAUCUAUGAAACGUUUAAAUAUAAGUUUGAUUGCAUAGAAAGUGAAUUAAAAUAUUAAGUAUUUAACAUAAAAUAUGAAUAAAGAAACAUUUAACCGAAAGGACCACACAAUUAAAAAAGUAUAUAAAAGUUGUAGCUUAACAAAAGACUUCCUUUUCCCGAUUUACAAUCAAGUAAUUUUUUAGUAAAAUCAAUAAGAAAACAUCAAUAAAUAACAUAACAUAUUAAACUUUGGGGAUAAUCAUAAAAAUAAACAUUAUAUUACAUAUUGUUGUGUUGGGGAUUUGUGGCUAACAUUUUCUCAUAUUCAAAGUAGACAUGUUGCUUAAGAUCUUGAGUAAAAUCUUGAUCAAAAUCUUAUUCAAGGUCAUGAAGAGUACUAAAUUAAUUUAUUAUUCUAUCUUUUAUUCUAUAGUAUGACUUAGAUGCUGAAUAUGCCACCAAAGACUUGGUCAAAUCGAAAUUAUAUUAGAAACGUGAAGAAAAGAUUUGGUCAUUAGAAAAUCAAUGAUAAGGGAAGAAGAGACGAUAAUACCAAGAUUAGGGAUUUAGUUUAGAAACUUUAUGUAUAAAUAGAGAGUUGAACACACACAAAACUAAAAAAAAAAAUACACAACAAACUCACUACUAAUAACGUACACUAGUUACCAUUCUCUGCUCUCUCUACACCAACUGUUGUUUUUAUAACUUUUUAUAUUAAUUAUUAAUUAAAAUAUUAGAGAUAGUCGGAUAUUUUCGGUUCCAAAAUCAAGAGUUUUUCUCAUAUAUCUCGAACGUCACAUCUUGAAUGUUUACUUUUAUAUUUUAUAUAUUUCAGAUAUCUUUAAUAUUCUACCCAUCUUCAAGAUAUUAACAUUUUCAACGUCUUAAAUUUUUUUUUUUUUAGUUUUUCUUCCUCAAGUACUUAAACAAAACGCCAUGUCUCACAUACUAUUUUAGUUACAAAAUUAUUAAGUAGAUUUUUGACAAAACACAUAUGAAGAAAAUUCAAUUUUUAGCAUUUAUGGAAAUAACUACCUAUGUUCCAUAAUUUAGGAUUUCAAUUAUGUUUUUUUCUUUGAACUAAAUAUUUUAGAAGCUCUUUUUACCUUUAAAUUUUAAAAUAUUUAAUAUAAUUGUUUGUUUUUCCAAUUAAAUGACUAAUGCAUUUAUUUAGCUCGUUUUGAAUAUCCAUUUUGUUAGAUUUGUGCAUAAAGUAAAAUAACAUUUUGAAAUUUAAAAAAUUUUCAUUGGAUUUCACAUAUUCUUUGAAAUUUCAAUAUACCUUUUAAAUCAAGAAUUAAUAUAACAUAUAAUUAUAAAAUUAUAUCGAAAUAAAUUUGAUGUAAUAUUUUUUGUAAAAAUUUCUUCANNNNNNNNNNNNNNNNNNNNNNNNNNNNNNNNNNNNNNNNNNNNNNNNNNNNNNNNNNNNNNNNNNNNNNNNNNNNNNNNNNNNNNNNNNNNNNNNNNNNNNNNNNNNNNNNNNNNNNNNNNNNNNNNNNNNNNNNNNNNNNNNNNNNNNNNNNNNNNNNNNNNNNNNNNNNNNUAUAUAUAUAUAUAUAUAAAAGUUGUAUAUUUAUGAUCGGUUUAUUUUUGUGGUAAUCCCAAAACUUUUUUAUGCUAAAACAUAUUAAAUUCAUGGAGAACACAUGUUAAAGUUACAUGGCGUGUCAAUCAUCAUCACCAAAACCCUUCAUAAGUUUUUCUAACAAAUUCCCCUUUCUCUUUCUUAUCUUUUCACCAUCACACCCCUCCCCUUCCUUCUUCAUAUCAACAUCUAUAUAUAUAAUGGCACCACGUAUCUCACCUCAUUCUCUCUCAAUCUCUCUCUCUCGACUCUUCCAUCUCUUCUCCGAUCUCCAUCAAAACAUAACAACAAAACAUCUUUUCAUCUUCUUCCUCCGACGCCAUUAACGUUCAUAUCCCCAUUUCUUCCAUCAAAUUUGACAUUUCCAAUCAGUAAUGGGGUUCCCAGUUGGUUACACAGACCUCUUCCUCCCCAAAGUCCUCCUCCACAUCCUUACUCUUCUGGGUUUCAUCCGUAAGCUCAUUUCCUUCAUUUUCAGAUUCGUUGGUCUCGGGGAGUUUCUCGAACCCGAUUUCUCAACAGACCCGACCCGGAACGAACCAGUCACGCAGUUCCAUUCCGUUUCCGCUGUCCUCAUCCGUGAGCUCCUCCCGGUGGUGAAGUUCUCAGAGCUAGUGGAUCCGCCUGAGAGCUGUGCAGUUUGUUUGUAUGAGUUCGACGCCGGCGACGAGAUCCGGCGACUUACCAAUUGCCGACACAUAUUCCACCGGUGCUGUCUCGACCGGUGGAUGGACCAUGAUCAGAAAACUUGCCCGCUUUGUCGGACUCCAUUUAUACCCGAUGAUUUACAGGAUUCGUUUAACGAACGGUUAUGGGCGGCGUCGGGAAUCGCCGAUUACUAUGGCGAUUCAUCGCUGGUUAGUGGUUCAUAAUAUAAAUAGUGAUACAAAAUUGUUUUUAGUUUUGGUGGAUUAGCUUAGAGGAUUCAGAGAAUCUUAUGAUGUAUAUUUUGGUUCUACAAAAAGAAGAAGAGAAUCAUAUAUAAUGUAUAGACAAGAGAAUGGAUACACUUGAUGAAAAUUCUUGUUUUUAUAUUUUUGGAGAUGAAUUUAACAAUUUAGAAAAAUAUCUAUCUAUAAUCCCUAUAUAUUUUAAAUGAAAAAUAUACUAUCUAUAUUUUGCUACCAAAUCAAAUGUCUAAUGUAGCCAACACUUGUAUCAAAUCAAGAAAGAAAUUCUAUGUUAUUAAAGCAACAAAUGACUCUUUUAAUGGGGGUGUUUUUUUAGAUAUUCACCACAUGACCAUAUUUGAAAGAUUAAAUAUAUAUCUAGACUAGAUAACUAUAUUUCAUAAACAACUAGAUAACUAUAUUUCAUAAACAACAAACUCGUGAAAUAAAGGUCGUGACAAUAAUGUGAGCUCGUUAAACAUUUGUGAUAUGUAUUUAUAUUGCGCCAUGUUUUAUGUCUUAUUGGUAUUAGAUACUCGUUAAUCACAUUUUGCGAAUUCACGAAGUACAUUAACUUUUCCGACUAUCGAUAGUCCAUGGAUGGAACAAUUUUAGAUAUAAGUAUCUCAAGAUCUCUUUUUGUUUCUCAAGCACUGUUUCGUUUGAAAAGCCAAUGAUGAAUAUCAAGACGAAGAUAGUGAUACUUCAGAUAUUAGAUAUGGCCAAUUAUACAAUUCGUGAAGAUCAUGUUAUGCGUAGAUGUUUUAUACCAAGUUACGAGAGAUGGUUUUCCUUCUCGGUGAACUAUUUUAAUAAUUACGCAAUUCUAAUUUUAUUUGAUUUGUAUUUUUUUUAUUUAGUUCUAUAAAAAAUAAACAAACGGAUUAAAAAUAUCAUUGAAGGGAAAGAAAAAAAAAAACAAUGCAUUAGAAGAGUCUAAUUUAUCACAGCCUAGGGUCGCUCAAGUGUUUACAAACUAAGCAAAGGCUUAGGGCCCCAAAUUCUAAAGGACCUCCAAUUUUAAAUCUUAUUUAUUAAUUCUAGUCAAGAAAGUCUCGAUCAUUCGAUUGUUAGUUUGUUACGCAUGUGUGAGAGAAACAGCGAUUCGAUUUCCAAAUAAACGUAGAAAAAACGCAGUUUUCUGUUGAUUGAUCUGUUCAGGUGUUCUUCUAAGUUCUAAUCUUCUUCCUUCUCGGCUCGACGACUUCUCCUCCUGUCCUCUACUCCUCCAGCCUUUAUUAUAAAAUAUAGUCUGAAAGUGAAACAAAGAAACGCAACAGCUUUCUUUAUUCUUCCUUCCGUUCUCUAAUUCAGAGAUGUGAUUAUCCAUUGUUCAGAGGCUUCAAAAGGACAAGACUGAUGGUUAACUAAAAGUCGGAAACGGUAUAUGUUUCAGUGAUUCCAAUUUCCGUUAUCUGAUAAUCUGGUUAUGAUUAUCUUAGACUUCUAGUUCUAGUUUUGAGUUUUCCUGUUUUCCUGUUUUCCAAUUUCCAUUUCCCUUUUUCCAAUUUCCAUUAUCUAUUCUAGGCAUCAUCCACGUAAGUAGAUUAAUCAGUAAAAUGACGUUGGAAACACUGACAAAUCUUAUUUAUAAAUUCAGAAUAACGACUAUGAAUUGUAAAUACAAAUUACACUAAAAUAAUAUAGAGUGUAAUUGAACUUACAGAGAUUCCUAGACAAAAGUCUUGAAAUUGCACUGGCAGAGUUCCUACUCGAUGGCUACUACUUGUUGGGCACUCAGGGGUAGUAGGGCUUCGUCGGUAUACUAGAAACUACAGUAAAAUGGCAAUAAGUGGAAGAACAUCGGGAGAGAAAGGUCGUAGGGGUGUGAGGACGGAAUCUUAUACUGAGGUGAGUAUUUAUAGCCCGAAAAAGAAAUGCAUGUCGCGCAACCUGUCGGGGCGCACUGCCUAUCCUAUCGGGGGUGGUGAUGUGGCGUUCAUCUAGUGGCGACACGUGUCACAGUCUCAUGGAUUGUCAAUGCGCGUCGUGCAUCUUAUCUGUGCGUGCUGAUUUUUAUAAAAUCUUAGAAAACUUGUAACUUCUUCAUACGAGCUCUGUUAUCAACAAGUUUUAUAUACACGUGUACCUAUCGACGAAAUCUACAGCUUUCAUUUAGAUUUCGUCGGCUAAUUUUGACUUUAUUUUUAAAGUUAUAUUUUUAUAGUCUUAAGGUAUUAAAGUUCAUAAUUCUUUCAUCUUAUGUCCAUUUCUAACUGUCUUUAUAUCGUUGACCUCUUAUCAACGAGAUCUUCAACUAUCGUUUAGAUCAUUUCAGCUAAAAAUCGAUCAAUCUAAAAUUCGAUUUCUGAGCUGUAUACUGUUAUGUUGAAUCUUAGAAAAAAAUCAUAAGUUCCUCUAAUGAAGUCAGAUUUAAACGUUCUCUAUGUGCAUGUUUUCGGUUUAAUGACUACUAUGACUUGCAUUUAGAUCAAUAAGGCUAAAAACCGAUCUAUCUCCAAUUCAUUAUUUACGAUAUCCAUAGCCAUAUCAAGUCGAACACGAAACUCCAACAGAUUAAGCGUUCCAUAUAUCUCUGGAAUCCUUGUCACGAUUACUUCAACUUUCGUCAACAAUAUUCGUCCUAAUUAUUAUUCUUUUUAGACGUGUAUUUUUUUUCUUAUUUUAAUAUUUCGUUAUAAGCAUGUAUACUACAAAUAUUUACACAUUGAACACGUAGUCUUCACAAAAUUUUCAUUUAUUAUAUCGAAUAGGUUACAAUUGUUGAGCCUUACUAUUAUAUAAUCUUAUUAGUUGUCUUGCGAGAAACGUGUGCGUUACAAGAUAUGUGAUGAUUGCAUGUGUUGUUGGCUAUUGUUUGUUUGUUUGUUUCUAUGCAUGUUGUUUGGUUGAGGCGCUCGUGUGUUGUGUUGUAGGUCUAGAUACCCGAGGGGUCCAAUGUAUUAUAGACCUUGUGAAGGUGUCCAAUCAUACUAUAGGCCUAAGGGAGCGGUCGAAUUAUUGUUGGCCUUACGAACCGGUCCAAUAGACAGUAGGCUCGGUAGAGCUGUCCAGGAACCCUAUAGAUCUUGUGAGGGAGUCCAGGCAGGCUGUAGGCCAAGGUCCUCUUAAUUAUGAUCUAAAAUAUAAAUAAAUUGAUUUUUUUAACUUUAAAGAGCUUUCUAACACUGAAAUUUAAUAAUUUCUAGCUUUACAAUACUGAAAUAUAAUUCAUACAACCACAAUAACAAUUUUUUAAAAAAACGUUGCUCAUUCAAUAUUUUGUAUUAAUUACUAAACAAUUUCAUCCCUAAACUUAGCCAUGUAUUAUCGGUCCGCUGCACUACCAUGUCCUUCAAACAAGUAAACGGUUAUAGGAAUUUAAAAUAGACUCAUUUAUUUGUAUCAAAUAAUUAAAUAAAUAAAAAUAUUGGCUAAAUAUAAAAAAAUAAAAAUAAAUAAAUAAAUAAAUAAACUCAACAUUCUGGCAUUGAGUAAAUUAGUCAGUUUUUUAAAUGACUUGAAAAUAAAAACAUAAAAAACAUGGUGUGUGUGCAUUUGUUUGUGUCUUAACUUAUUCAUAUACCUAUAAACAUUCAUUCAAUGUUAUUGUGGUUGUAUAAUGAUAUGUUAAAGGUAUAUGAUCUAAAAUAUAAAUAAACUUAUUUUUUUAACUUUAAAGAACUUUUCAACACUGAAAUUUAAUAAUUUCUAGCUUUAUAAUAUUGAAAAAUAAUUCAUACAACCAUAAUAAUAUAUAUUUAAAAAAAAAAACUGUUCCUUCAAUAUUUUGUAUUAACUAUUAAACAAUUUCAUCUUUGAACUUAGUGAUAUAUUCUCGACCCGUUACAUUACCAUGUCCAUCAAACAAGUAAAUGUUUAUAGGAAUUUAAUUAGACUUAUUUAUGUGUAUCAAAUAAUUAAAUAAAUAAAAAUAUUGGCAAAAUAUCGAAAACCCAACAUUUAGGCAUUGAGUAAAUUAGGCGGUUAUUUAAAUGACUUGAAAAAUAUACAAUUCUAGAUUUUCUAAUAAGAAAACAAAUAAAGCUAUUUAUUAUUUUUAUUAUAUUAAAUAAAAAAAAGGAAAAAAAAAAGAUUACAUGUGUAUGAAAAAUGUAACAGAAAAAAAAACAUGGUUUGUGCAUUUGUUUGUGUCUUAAGUUAUUUAUAUAUACAUUUUUUAUUUUUUAUCUAGAAGAUAUCUCUGAGAAAGUCUAAUUUCAAAAGAGAGUUUUUUUUUUCAAAACAAAGUAAACAUCACCUAAAUCUAACUACACGAAAGUCUAAUUUCAUUGUUAAUUAUUAGUUUAAAUUUCAUUAUAUUUUUCAAUCUAUAUGUGGUUUUAUUAAUUUCCACUUCCAAAAGAAUGAUGAUAUACCUUUCUAGGUUUUUAGAAGACUGGCGAAGAGUUUUAAAUUAUAUCUUUUUUAGUAUAGGCUAUAUAUUGUGUGUAUAUAUUGAGGGUCUUUUAUUCAAUUAAAAUUAUAUUGGUUGUACUAUUUAAAAAAAUUGAAUACAUAGAAACCCUAACAAGUAUUUUCUUAAUUCUAACAUAGUAUAAAGCUACGGAUUCUCUCUCUAUUGAUCAUUUCUCCAUCACAGACACGAUUCGAUUGGCAUCACCAUGAACUCAUGGUGAGACCGAAUGACAUCACCACGAACUCAUAGUGCCCAUACCGAGUCCGAAAAGUUCUCUUCUCAACAUCCUCCUCUCUGACCCUCAUAUGGUGGUAACCCGAUCUCAAAUCAAUCUUGGAGGAACAAGACGCACCUUGCAACUGAUUAAAAAGAUCAUCAAUCCUCAGAAGUGAGUAACGGUUCUUCACCAUUAACUUAUUUAACUCUUGGGAAUAUAUGCACAUUCGAUGAGCACCACCAGUCUUCUUCAUAAAUAAAAUCGGUGCUCCCUAGGGAUGAGCAAAGGAACCGACCCGAACAGAACCCGGACCGGAAACCAAAGUCGGCCGAAAUUAAGAAUCGAACUGGACCGCCGGUUAUACCGGUUCCGGUUCUACCAUUUACCGGUUCCUACCGGUUCUUUUCGUGUCUUCAAUGUUGGAACCAAUCAUCAAGAAAUAGCAACAUACAGUUCCAGCUUUUGCCGGUUCUACUGGUUCCCAAUUCCAAAGAUCCACAAGAAUAUCGUCCCGGUCCCGGCCCGAGCGGUUCCAUCGGGUUCCGGUUCCGUUACCGGUUCCUCUGUCCAGUUGCUCAUCCCUAGUGCUCCCCAGGGUGAAGUGUUUGGUCGGAUAAACUACUUGCCUAAUAGCUCAUAGAGCUGAGAGGACUACUCCUGCAUCUAUAGUUGUAACGUCUGUGUUUCGAGGCUAAGCAUUGAUACGAUGAUGUAAUAGUAAGGGUCAACAAAUGUAACUCAUUUUGAAGUAAUAAAAAGAAUUAUUUGAGUAUUAUGUGAAUUAUGUGAAUUUAUGUGUUUUAUACUUAUUUAUAAUGAUAUAAUAAAUUAAGAAUGACAAUAAGCGUCAAAAAUAAAAUGUUAGAUAAACCCGGUAUUUAUGAAGAAAGUUGUAGUGGUCGUAACAAGGGUUCCGAAAAUAUAAAGAACGCCAAAAUCCGAUUUAUAACGAAGAAGUUAUGACUUGUCGAAGUUUCGCGACAAAACCGGCACAACGUUGUGUGACGUAAAAAGUGAGUUUUUGAUAAAUUGCUUUUUAGCCUUACCAAUCUAAAUAAAAGUCGUGGUAUACGUUAAACUGAGAGCGUGCAUAAAAAGAACGUCCAAAUCUGACUUCGUAUGAGGAAGUUAUGAAUUUUCUAAGAUUUGGCAUAGCAGUGUACAGCCUGGAGUUUGAAUUUUAGAUCGAGUGAUUUUUAGCCCACACAACCUAAAUGAGAAUUGAAGAUCUCGUUAAUAGGAGUUCAACAAUAAAAACACAGUCGAAAAUGGAGUCCGUAUGUAGAAGUUAUGAAUUUUACACGGUCGUUAAAUAUUGUAAUCUUCUCAUACCGUUAAAUUUAAAAUCUGUUGAGAAUUAGCCGAUGGAGUCAAAAGGAGAAUUGUAUAUGUUGUCAAUACCUACGCGUGGAUAUAAAGAAAGUCAAAAACAGAACUCGUAUGAGAAUGUUACGGGGUUUAGAAGUCGUAAGGGUGCUGCAGCGAAAUGGGUGACGUGGCGCAAUCUCAACCAUUGCUUUCUCCCCACUAGAUGACGAAACGUGGCACCAACUCGACGAGUUGAACAGGAACUCGAUGAUUUUGGGGGUCAGAACUCGACAAGUUGACCAAAAAAACUCGACAAGUUAGGCACUUUUUCAUCCUAUAAAUACCACCCGAGAGUUCCUUCAUUUUUCACACUUUUUACCCUUUCUUUCCCUCUCUACUCCCUCUCUAAACCUCCCUAAACAUCCCCAAAAGCAUAGGAAACUUCCCUAGCACUUGAAGAAAGCCCCGAAGUUCCCGAACGCUCCGAUAAAAAGAGUUUUUCGGUUUAAAACUCUUCCUGCGCAAAACCCGGUUUUCAAGCAACCCUCCCGGUUUCGUCAAAGGAAAUCAUAUUUUUAAGAAGCGAAGCGUUGUUCAAGUUGGAAUCACCAUCUUAUCAAGUGAGUACAUAGUUACUUUCAUCUUACACAUAGAUAUGGAUUUAGUGCCUGUUGUAUAAACCAUGGCCACGAUGGACUUCGUACCUAUUCCUUAGGAAUGAAUGAAUAAAGAGUAGCUGAUUCUUAGGGUAGAUCCUUAAGAGUAAAGAAGAUAAUGGGGAUGGGUAAUUGGGUUGAUUGUUUGAUGUUUAAACAUAGUAACUAUAUUAUUGUGGGUUGAAAACCCUAUGUACUCACCAGGUUUCCCAACCUGACCCACUCAGUUUAUUUGUAUGACAGUGUCAAUAUAAAGAUGCACUACAUCGAGAGAUUAAAGAGAUGUAGAUCACUAGUGUAAAUGAAUGUAAUUUAUGUUUAUGCUUAUAUUUCUGUAUUGAGAUUGACAUCCCAAAGUUUUAAAAUAAAUAAAAUACAUUUCUUUGGAAAUGUUUUGAUAACAUAUUUAUCAUGUUUUUCUGGGAACAAAUUCCGCUACAUUUUUCUUUAAAAAGUUACUAUGAUUUGAAAAUAAAACAUAAGCAAAUCGGUUCUUUCUUGCCAUGAAAAUGGGGAUGCCACAAAGAUGGUGUGAGCAGAUACGAUGCCUUAGAAAUCGGGGCCACACCAGGGAUCAGAUCAAUCCUAAACUCCACCUACCUCACUGAAGGCACACCGAGAAGAUCAUCCGAAAAGACAUUUGGAAACUCCCUAACCACUGGAACAUCUGAAACUAACUUCUUCCCCUCAACUCGAGUGCCAACCACAUAUGUGAGAUAACCUAAACAUCAAUGCUAGAGACAUUGCCUAGCCCUAGCAGUCAAACAAAAAGUUGAACCAACCCGGGUACCCUCACCAUAAAUGGUCAAUUCGUCCCCACUUGGGGUUCGAACCACCAGAAGCUACCUCUCACAAUCAAUCAUGGCUUCAAAUCUACUCAGCCAAUCCAUCCCUACAGUCACGUAUACAUCUCACAUAGGGAUGAGAAUCAGGUCAACCGGGUAGAUCUCCCCGAAUAGCUCCAAAGUACAUCCAUGGAAAAUGCUCGAAGCAGAAACCUUGUGUUCGUCGGAAAAUGCUUCACAUCUAUUGUGACAUAGGUAUGAUGAUUCGCAAUGGGUGGGACUAGCAUUUAAUGCCAUGUACCAUUACGUCCGGCUUCUGUAUUUUUGAGUACACAUUACAAUGGUUUCCAGUCAUGACGUUAGCAACUAUUAUUACGGUUUUCGAAUUUCCCGCCCUUUUGUGCCUAUAUAGUUCUUGCCUAUUCAAUUUUCCUUGUUAUUGCUCUUUGUCUCUCUAAGUUUAUUCUUCUUUUUGUUAAGGACUCUCCGAUUAGCAUCGCCCUAACCCAUGAUCAGUUUGCUACUCUUCAAGAGAGAUACGACGUUUAGCCAGAAGAUGGUGUCACUUUUCCCGGUGAACAUGCUACCUUUAUCAAUCCUCCCGAGGGUAAAUUCGGUUCAUAUGCGAAACACUUUGAUGCCGGGUAUCAUCUUCUGACGUCAGAUUUCUUUUGAGAAGUUUUCCAUAAACACAAGGUUUACAUCAAUUAGUUGGUACCCAAUGGUAUAAACAAAGUAGUUGCUUUUGAGAUGCUUUAUCAUUCUAAUGGGAUUAACCCUGAUAGUUGGGUCUUUCGCCAUUUUUUUCGUUUCGAUGUUGCUUCCUCCGAUGAGAGUUAUAUGUUUGUUUUUCAUAAGCAUAGUCAGGUUCUAGUGACCGAGUAGAAGAAUUAGCCAAAGAACUGGGCAAAUAUUUAUUAUUGGGUUAAUAUUGAUCGUGUAGGGCUCAUGGAGCGGUAUUCGACUUCUGUGUUUGACCAAUCCUUUAACCUUUAUUCAGACAACGAGCAGAUGGCUAGGAUUCUUUGUUUUCUUUUCAUGUUGUGGCUGAUGACUUCCCAGAGUAUGUGCUUGUUGGGGCUGGGAUGAGUAUGUCAUGGAGGCCUCGUGGAAAGACGUCGGAGUUUUAUGUUACGUUGAGAGGUUUCUCUUGAUUCUGUUUAUCAUGUUCCAUUUUUUCCCUUCUUUCCCCCCCCCCCUCCCCCUUUAUNNNNNNNNNNNNNNNNNNNNNNNNNNNNNNNNNNNNNNNNNNNNNNNNNNNNNNNNNNNNAUACGUAUGUAAAUCUAUUCUUGGUAUGCAGGUGUCAAGAAUAGGAUUGAUUUCAUGGACGUGCUGGCUAAGAAGUGGAUGGGGAGUCUCCGGUAUCGAGAGGUGGAUCUCAAUGAUAGGGUGUUACCUUCUUUCCCUUUCUGUAAUGAAGCUUUUAUUGCCCGAGCAUCUGGCAUUCAAGACGAUGAGCGGUGUUGUGCUACUAUAGAGCCCUCACUGCAUGCUUCAAUUGAUUUUCUUAGUGCUGAUGUUGGUAUUAAGUCUUCAAGGAACAAGUCUCUUGAGGAAGAGGUCGUGGAGGAUAACAAAGAAGGGGUUCUUCCUUUCGUAAACAAGCGUAAAGCAUCUUGGCAAAGUGUGAGUGGUCAGGAUGUUGUGGGUCUGGCGCUCGUACGACAUCUGCAUCCACGAAAAUUAGCUAAAGGAAGCUCUCAUGUUGUUAAUGUUCAAAAUGAGGUAAUUGAUAUUCCUGACGACGGAAAUGUGGAGAAAGUUGUUUCUGAGAGAACGUUGUUAGGUCUGACUCGGUAGUUGUGUUCAAAACUUCAGAGCAUUUAGGAUUUGGGAGUGAACAAGGUAGUAUAAAGGAGGGGUUUCGUCUUUUGCGCUUUGGGCAUGAUGAAUUUCCAACUAUUGGUGCUAGUAAAAUAGGGGGCUCCAUUGGUGCGACGUUUUCUCCUUCCUGGUCUAUAAAGAACGAUCCUUGUCUUCCCUUGUUUGAAUCUGCAAUUGAUUUUUCCAAGAAUGCGUUUCUGCAUGGCACUUAAUCUGAAAUGGCUAAUUACUCCCUCUUUGAUCUUGUUGGGUCAUUUUGUUUUGCUUCAACUCAAAGUACCAGUUUUGUUGCUAAAGGUGCUAACUGUCUUUAGCAGUUCUUGGUUGUUGAUCGUGAUCAUGCCCAUAUGAUGAAGGAAAUUUAAGUGCUUCAUUCUGAGAAUACUGUGUUAUAGAAGAAGGUUUUCGAGUUUGAGGGGGAUGCCUUGCAGCUUAGUAUCGUUGUCGUGGAGAACAAGGUGUUGGAGAAGUGUGUGAUAGGUCUUAAACAUGAUAAACUUGCUUUGGGUGUUACAAUUGGCCAGUUGAAACAGGAAAAUGAAGGUUUAAGCAUCCGGUUGGAGAGCCUUGAGAAGGAUUUGGCGGAAAAAAGAUCGAGUUGUGGAAGAGAAGUUUGUGUUCUUAGGGGUUUUGUAACGUGAAAUUUAGUGGAUAAUGAAGGAAUGGUUGGCUGGAGUGGUUCAUCAUGUCUUCGAAAGUCCUGAGUUUCGUUAUGGUAUAAAUAAUUUUCGUGAUGCAUGUAUUGCUGUUGGAAAAGUUGUGGAGAUGCAGGAGGCGAAAGAAUUGGUUGGUGGUGGUGGUAGGUUGGAAGAUGUGUCGAGGGAUGGUGUUGACCAUGAGGGGGAGGUUGAUGAAGCAUUAGAUACUUUUGUAUCACUGUACUAUAUGUUGAUGGGUUUUAGCCAUAAGAACUUUCCUAUGUGCGCAUGCAAAACCCUAAUGCUUGGAUCUAGCCUUUCUAAUUAAACAUGCUUUGAAUCCAAGACUUCUAAUGGCUAAUUAGGUUAAAUAACAACAUUGAAACAGAUCUAGAACCAUACCUUUGAAUUCCUUGUUGAUCUUGUUGUCUUGGAGCUUCUAGAGUCACAAUUGUCACUCCUCUAAUGGCUUACAAACACCAAUAGCAAGCAUGAUGAUUUAGGAGAGAGGAGAGGGGAGGAAAUCGGCCAGGGUUCUCUUACUUUAGGUUAGGUGUCGAUUUCCCUUGCCCAUGGGAUCUAUUUAUACUUGUAGACUCCUUAAGGGUUACAAUCUAAACCCUAAUUGGAUAAUCUUCUCUUAAGGCUAUCCAAAUCCAUUCCAUAGAUAACCCCUUGGACGAUUUUGAAGCUAUCCUAGCUUCUAUAAUCCGUCCCUUGUAUAUCUAUAUGGAUUUACAGUCUAAAUCUUUACUAUCAAACAAUUGACAGUUUAUACCCCUUUAUUUAAUUAAUCUCUUUAAGUCACCAAAUUAAUUCCAAUUAAUUCUAUGACUUAUAUUAAUCAAAUAACAAUAUAUUAUUCUUUAUAUUAUUCCCAUAGUAUAUUAAUAAUAUUUACUCUCUCUUGAUAAAUCAUCCUGUCAAGUUGCUAUGGUGAAGGCAACCCAAAAGGACCAUGCACAACCGGGUCAAGUACUUGCCUAAUAUAGUUGCAGCCUUAGACACUAUUCCAACAGUCUCCCACUUGGAUAAGUCUAGUAACUAUAUGCACAAGUACAAUUUGGUUUGCAAUCGUAGCUCUCAAAGACGCUGUCAAACUCUGAUCUAAUCAAUCUUGUCCUUCAGAUAAGGGAUCGUACAGUCCUCUGUUAGAUAUCAUGCUGACAAUCCUAUGGAAUGGUUAGUCAAGCAUUUAGGUUUCUCGAUCUCUGAUUUAUUUGACAUAGAACUUAAUCGAACACAUCAAUUCAGUUCUGACCGGGCCCGACACAUAAGUCAAAUCAAAUCAUCGAGCGGCCGAGAUAUCACUUUUACCUUCUUAGAUAAAAGUUACAGAUAAACUUCGACUUAUAUGCAUUUACUUAUUCAAUAAUCAACUAUACACAACAAUGCGUUUUAUAACACCGAGUUACUGAUGCGUUUUCGCAUUAUCAAUGUACAAUCAAUUAACAAAUAACAAACCAUAUAUCUAGGUUUUAAGACUAUAUGAUAUUAUCGUCUUGCGAUCACCCUUUUAUAUCAUAUUCCAUAAGGUGAUUCCAGCAAGCGCGGGUUUGUUCCAAUGCUCAAAACUAGUUCAUAAGCACUCAUGAACGUUGCAGCAACCCUUUGCUAUGUCUAACACCAUUUAGACAAUCUACACACCAAUUCAUGACAAUCUUCAUUCAUAUCUACUUCCAACAUAUGAACGAUUGUGGACAAUUUGAACAAUUCGAUUAUUCCUAAUAAACUCAAUUAUUCUGGAAGUCAAAACAUGCAAAGUGAAACAAUAGUUAAACAAUUAACAUAAGAUAGUAACAUUACUCAUAAAUAAAACUCCUUUAUUUAAUCAUCAAAUGUUAAUUACAUUUAUCUAUUACACGUUUCUAAUACUAUCUAAUCUAUGCUAAUAUCAUCCUUCAGCCCAAUACUCCUAGCAUGCUGCAAGUGCUUAACCCUACUCAGUCCCUUCGUAAGCGGAUCUGCUGGGUUAUCUUCUGAUGAUAUCCUCUUCACUACGAGUUGUCCUUCUUCUACACGAUGUCUAAUGAAGUGAUAUUUUCUGUCGAUAUGUCUUGAUCUACCAUGAUCCCUCGGUUCCUUGGUCAAGGCAACCGCUCCUUCGUUAUCACAGAAAAUCUCCAUGGGCUCCUUUAUGGCAGGUACAACUCCAAGAUCACCGAUGAAGUUCUUUAGCCAUAUUGCCUCCUUCGACGCUUCGCUCGCUGCAAUGUACUCUGAUUCGCACGUUGAAUCAGCUACGGUUUCCUGCUUGGAACUCUUCCAUGUCACUGCUCCUCCAUUUAGGGUAAAGACCCAGCCCGACUGCGAACGGUAGUUGUCCCUGUCGGUCUGAAAACUGGCGUCACUAUACCCUCGCACCUUCAAGUCAUCACUCCCUCCGAGGACUAAGAACCAUUCCUUCGUCCUCCGAAGGUACUUAAGGAUAUUCUUCACCGCAAUCCAAUGUGCUCUGCCAGGAUUCCCUUGAUAUCUGCUAACCAUGCUCAAAGCGAAGGCUACAUCAGGGCGAGUACAAGUCAUAGCGUACAUGAUUGAGCCAACUGCGGAAGCGUAUGGUACUCGGCUCAUUUCUGCUAUCUCAGCUUCGGUACUCGGACUUUGAGUCUUACUCAAUUUGGCAUUACUUUGUAUCGGUAGUUCUCCCUUCUUUGAGUUUUCCAUACUAAAACGUUUUAGUACCUUCUCUAAGUAAGUAUUCUGACUAAGUCCAAUUAGUCUCUUACUUCUUUCUCUUACUAUCCUUAUUCCCAAAAUGUAAGAAGCCUCUCCGAGGUCCUUCAUAGCGAAGCACUUCCCGAGCCAGGACUUAACCUCCUGCAGAGUCGGGAUGUCGUUUCCUAUGAGUAAUAUGUCAUCGACAUAUAGAACGAGGAAGCUUACUAUACUCCCACUGGCUUUGACAUAUACACAAGAUUCGUCUUCGCUUCGUACAAAUCCAAACUCUUUGACUUUCUCAUCGAAGCAAAGAUUCCAUCUGCGAGACGCUUGCUUAAGUCCAUAAAUGGACUUCUCAAGCUUACACACUCUAUUCGGAUGCUUCGGAUCCACAAACCCCUCUGGCUGAGCCAUGUAAACAUCCUCAGCCAACUUUCCGUUAAGGAAAGCGGUCUUGACAUCCAUUUGCCAAAUCUCAUAAUCAUGAAAUGCGGCAAUUGCUAGCAUCACUCUAAUAGAUUUAAUCUUCGCAACUGGUGAGAAGGUCUCAUCAUAGUCAACUCCGGGAGUUUGAGUAAAGCCCUUCGCAACCAAUCGCGCUUUAUAUGUGUGUACGUUUCCAUCCACGUCGGUCUUCUUCUUGAAGAUCCAUUUGCACCCAACGGUCUUACGUCCGGGCACAUAAUCAACCAAAUUCCAAACUUGGUUAUCAUACAUGGAUUGGAUCUCGCUAUCCAUUGCCUCUUUCCAUUUUGCAGACUCCGGGCCUGCCAUGGCUUCCUUAUAGCUAUUAGGUUCAUCAAGAUUUACUAGUGUACCAUCACUAAUAUACGUGUCCCCUUCGGUAGUAAUAUGAAAACCAUAAAACUGGGGAUGAACUCUAACUCUAUCGGAACGUCUAAGAGGUAAGGAUUCGUCAAUCGGUUCAACCGGAGUUUCCUCCUCGGGUUGAGUGCCAGCGGUAGAGGUUCCUUCAUCUAUCGACUCUUGAAUCUCUUCAAGCUCGAUUUGCCUCCCACUGUCUCCUUGGCUUAUGAGUUCUCGCUCUCGGAAAACUCCUCUCCUCGCAACGAAGACAACAUUGUCCUUCGGUCUAUAGAAGAGAUAUCCAAAGGAUGUCUGCGGGUAGCCGAUGAAAAUACAUCGCUCACUUCGAGGUUCAAGCUUGUCGUGAGUAUCUCGUCUUACGAAAGCCUCGCAACCCCAAACCUUGAUAUGUGCCAACGAGGGAGCUUUCCCUGUCCACAUCUCGUGAGGUGUUUUGGCAACCUUCUUAGUAGGGACUCGGUUAAGGAUAUGGGCGGCAGUCUCUAAGGCAUACCCCCAAAAAGAGAUAGGUAGUGAAGCACGACUCAUCAUAGAGCGAACCAUAUCCAAUAAGGUUCGAUUACGCCUUUCUGCCACACCAUUCAACUGCGGUGUCCUAGGAGGCGUCAAUUGCGAAACUAUUCCACACUCCUUGAGAUAAUCGUGGAAUUCAAGACUUAGGUACUCUCCUCCUCGAUCGGAUCGAAGCAUCUUGAUUUUCCUGCCCAAUUGAUUCUCCACUUCAUUCUUGAACUCUUUGAACUUUUCAAAGGUGUCUGACUUUUGCUUGAUUAAGUAGAUAUACCCAUAUCUACUAUAGUCAUCGGUAAAAGUCACAUAGAAGCGGUUCCCAUCCUUCGUGGUUGAUCUAAACGGUCCACAUACAUCGGUAUGUAUUAGGUCCAAUAGACCCUCGCCCCUUUCACAUGUACUCGUGAAGGGUGACUUAGUCAUCUUUCCAAGCAAACAAGACUCGCAUGUGUCAUCUUCCCUAAGGUCGAAUGACUCCAACACUCCAUCCUUUUGGAGUUGGGCUAUGCGUUUCUUGUUGACAUGUCCAAGACGACAAUGCCACAAGGAUGCUUUAUCCAUACUAGUGGAAGAAUCAAUAUUCAAAACAUCAUUUCCUAAGUUAUCAACAAUCAUAACGGUUUCAUAUAUUCCAUUACAUGGUAUAGCUUCAAAGUAAAAGACACCAUUUAGAUAAGCCAAAAUAGAACCAUUCUCAUUAUUAAAAGAAAAUCUAAAUCCUUGUCUAUAUAAACCAUGAAAUGAAAUGAUGUUUCUUGCCAUUUCUGGCGAAUAGCAACAAUUGUUCAAAUCUAAAACUAAACUAUUCCUAAGCACUAAGGAAUACACUCCAAUCUUGGUCACAGGCGACGAUCUUCUGUUCCCCAUGAUUAGAUUGAUCCUUCCUUGCUCCACAUCCCUACUUCUUCUUAGUCCCUGCACAUUAGAACAAAUGUGAUAACCACAACCGGUAUCAAGAACCCAAGAAAUAGCAUGAUUAGAAUCGUUAGAUUUGAUUGUAUAUAUACCUGCGAAAGAUGGCUUGAUCUUUCCUUCUUUGAUUGCUUGCAGGUAAUCCGGGCAGCUUCUCUUCCAAUGUCCUAUCUUGUGGCAGUGGUGGCACUCUGCCUCCUUCGGGUUAGAGCAGGGCUUGGCGGGAUCAACUUUGGUCCCACUAGAAGAGGCACCAUCUCGGGCUUUCACCUUGCGAUAGUUCUUCGAUGAAGCUUUCCUCUUCUUUCCCUUCCCUUGUCCAAUAGCCAAGACAGGAGCAGCGGGCGGAUUGGGAGUAGGUGCAACAGACUUGUCUUUGAAGUUGCUCUCAGCAACCCUCAAGAGACCUUGGAGCUUGCUUAGGGUGACCUCUUCUUUGUUCAUGUGGUAGGUCAUCCUAAAUUGGUUGUACAUCGGAGGCAAAGAGUGAAGCACCAUGUCGAUCGCCAAGUCUUCACCGAAGUCAACAUUUAACUUGCGGAGGCGGUCAACAUACCUUUGCAUCUUUUGCAAGUGCACGGUAAGAGAUUCUCCAUGACCCAUCUUCGCGGAAAUCAUGUUAGUGAAAAUCUCGUACCUCUCUUGUCUCGCGUUUUGGUGGUACCUCUCCAAUAAGUCUUGAUGCAUCUCGUACGGGUACAUGUCCUCGUAGGACUUUUGGAAUUCGGAGUUCAUGGUGGCGAUCAUGAUGCAAUGUACCUUCGUUGCAUCUCGCUCAUGAGUUUCAAAGGCGGUGAUUUCGGCGGGAGUAGCAAUUUCGGGGUUGAUUUUCUCGAGCUUCUCAUCGAGGACAUACUCCUUAUCCUCAUAGCGAGCAAUGGUGCGAAUGUAUCUUAUCCAUUCGCUAAAGUUCGUUCCAUCGAAGGUGACCUUUUGGCAAAGGCUCAUCAACGUGAAAGAACUAGCAGCAGCGUUGUUUGCGUUCGACAUCUACAAUUAGAAAAGGACAAAGAUAGAUUAGAAUAAGAAUCCCUAAUUAUCACCCAAUAAGAAAAUUAGGGCUAGGAUCCAACAAUAACAUUUACAUACUAGAAAAGGGAUGCCGUAAUCUAACAUGCAAAUAAAUUGAAGGUAAGUGAAUGACGAUUCACUAAUUCUCCAUCACAAAACUUAAACUAUUAGUCCUAAGUGUUUUUGAGAAUUCCUAGGUUCGGAUGAGAUUCAUUGAAACUAUUCAAUGGCAUGUUUAAAUCUCGAUAUGCCCCUCUUGUUUGUGACUGGGAUGCCGAGGAUCACAAAGCGGGUGUGAAUUACCAUGCAAAUUCACAUGGUGCCUUCAUUGUAACAAUCACCUAUUCGAUGUGCCGGUAAACCACACACGCUCCAUCGAACUAUGAUAAACAAUGAAUCACCCUUUGCCACCUUCGCUUAGAACCAAUUAGUGUGCCGGUAAACCACACACGCUCCACUAACAUCUUAGCAAGGUGCAAAGUGUAAUUUCAUGGGAUUGCAUCAAUUCACUUUUCCUAAAGUAACUAGGAUUGGGAAAUUUUAAAAAAAUGUGUAGUUACUUUAUAUUUCUUAUUAUACUUUUAAUGAGAGGAUGAGGUUGCCCUAUCCUACCCGUUCGGCUAACGACCCUCCACCAAUCAAGCAAGCGGUGGGUGUGAGUGUACACCCAUUAAGCGCCAUUUUAUAGGCCGCAACCUUAUACCCACCUUAUAGAUCGGCUUCGUGAAUGAGGCCUACUAACGGUAAGACUAGCAUUUAGUUAUACAUAUAUAUAUUAUUCUAGUAAUAUCAUAUUAGUAUAGGGUUGUAUUUUAAAACUUUUAAAAUCUAGGGUUUGAAAUUUAAGUUGUCUAAAUUAAAACUUUUAAUCACAAAAGUAAAUUUCAAAACAUGAGGGUAGGUUUUAAACAUUUAAAACAUGGAGGAUCAAAUAACAAAUAAUUCCAAUUAACAAUUAAUAUCCUAAUUAUCUAUAUUUGAUUUAUUCAAGAUUUCUUUUAAAGAUAAUUACCAAAAUAAUCAAAAUAAUUAAUUAAUUAUCAUAUAAGGAAAUUAAAUAUUUAAUUAGUUGAUAAUUACCUUUAACUAGAUCAAGAUAAUAGUUAUAUUUAUCAGAAAAACGAAUUAAUGUUGAUCUAAUUAGUUUAUGGUAAGUUAAGAUAAGAUAAACACAAAGAAAUCCCGAAUCUGGCCAUUCCUGACGCCUGGACUCGCCGAGUGCACAAAUGGACUCGCCGAGUCAGGCCUACUCGCCGAGUCCACUUUGAGACUCGCCGAGUCCAUGACUCAGAAACCAAAAAUUCGAAUUUUGCAGGUUUGUUUCAGUUAAUCAAGCAACAAUUUACAGAAAACCAAGCUAGGCUCUGAUACCACUGAUGGGUUUUAGCCAUAAGAACUUUCCUAUGUGCGCAUGCAAAACCCUAAUGCUUGGAUCUAGGCUUUCUAAUAAACAUGCUUUGAAUCCAAGACUUCUAAUGGCUAAUUAGGUUAAAUAACAACAUUGAAACAGAUCUAGAACCAUACCUUUGAAUUCCUUGUUGAUCUUGUUGUCUUGGAGCUUCUAGAGUCACAAUUGUCACUCCUCUAAUGGCUUACAAACACCAAUAGCAAGAAAGAUGACUUAGGAGAGAGGAGAGGGGAGGAAAUCGGCUAGGGUUCUCUUAAUUUAGGUUAGGUGUCUAUUUCCCUUGCCCAUGGGAUCUAUUUAUACUUGUAGACUCCUUAAGGGUUACAAUCUAAACCCUAAUUGGAUAAUCUUCUCUUAAGGCUAUCCAAAUCCAUUCCAUAGAUAACCCCUUGGACAAUUUUGAAGCUAUCCUAGCUUCUAGAAUCCAUCCCUUGUAUAUCUAUAUGGAUUUACAGUCUAAAUCUUAACUAUCAAACAAUUGACAGUUUAUACCCCUUUAUUUAAUUAAUCUCUUUAAGUCACCAAAUUAAUUCCAAUUAAUUCUAUGACUUAUAUUAAUCAAAUAACAAUAUAUUAUUCUUUAUAUUAUUCCCAUAAUAUAUUAAUAAUAUUACUCUCUCUUGAUAAAUCAUCCUGUCAAGUUGCUAUGGUGAAGGCAACCCAAAAGGACCAUGCACAACCGGGUCAAGUACUUGCCUAAUAUAGUUGCAGCUUUAGACACUAUUCCAACAUAUGUAUGUGCUUGAUUUGGAGAGAUUGGAUGAGGAUAGGCUAAAGCAGAUGGUGCAAGCUCCUGGUGGUGUCGGUCCCUCUUAAUUUUCUUAUCUUUGUUAUGCUUUUACUUUGGUUACAACAUUGGGUAUUAGGCUGGUUUAGCCAUCUUGACAUGUUUUUGCUUGUUAUUUUAGAAUUGUUGCUUGGUUUACGGAUUUUACACUUGAACUGCAUGAAUCCUCAUUGAUUUUCGUUUUUUCAUUUGUUCUAGUUGGCUCUUUGUUUGAUAAGUUGAUAAGACGGGUUGUUGAUUGCAUGGAAUACUAGAUCUUGGUAGACCUUUGGGGAUUCUCAUGCUAGUUGAGUCGAUAAUUUUCUUUUUCUUGUCCUGAAAUGGGUCUGAAUUGUGUUUUUGAGACAAUUUUUCAGUUUGGAAUAGUGAGUCGAGCCAUUUGUUCUCAAUAAUCAAGGCAGGUCGAAGCCAUGGUACUUUAGAACCGUUUGUUGUUAUAGAAAGUAGGUCGAGGCAUUUGGCCUCCAGACUUAUGGGAGGUCAAAACCAGGGGCUUUGGAACCGUUUUCCAUCAUAGAAAGUAGGUCGGUGCAUUUGGCCUCCAGACUAGAAAAUAGGUCGAGGCAUUUGGCCUCCAAACUUAAGGUAGAUCAAAGCCAGGGGAUUUGGAACCGUUUGUCGUUAUUAAAAGUAGGUCAAGGCAUUUGGCCUCCAGACUUAAGGCACUUCAAAGCCAAGGGCUUUUGGAUCUUUUUUUAUUAUAGAAAGUAUGUCGGGGCAUUUAGCCUCUAGACUUAAGGCAGGUCAAAGCCAGGGUAUUUGGAACUGUUUUCCGCUUAUUUGUCACAUGUGAAUUUAUAAGUGUGCACUUUAGUUCUAUGAAAUUCAUCAUUGAUUUCAUAUCGGGAGGAGAGGGUGAUCAUUCAUUCCUUUCUUACAUGCUUUUCAAUGGAAAACAUCAUAAUAAAUGAAAGGAAAAAGAGGAGGGGGUCUUGUGCCCUCAUUCUUGUUGCAUGUUUCUCAGUAGUGAAAUAAUCUCAGGUUUUGGACAUUCCAAGUCCUUGGAAUGGGUAUUUCUAGAUUCCAAAACUUUGUAGGGGCCUUCCCAGGUUGUUCCUAGCUUGUUCCUUGGUUUGUCGUGGCUGGCUUCAUUUUUCCUCAACACCAGUUCGCCUAUUUUGAAUGCUCGCUAUUUUACUCUUUUGUUGUAGUACUUUUCAAUAUUUGCUUUGUACACUGUUUGAUGGAGUGCUACCAUGUAGCGUUUCUCUUCUAUUAGAUCGAGGUUGAUUUGAAGAUCUUCAACGUUCUUUUCGGUAUUGAAACAUAGUAUAUAGGGGGUUUCUAUGAGCAGUUCUUGUGGUAGAACUAUUUCCAUGCCAUAUACAAAUUUGAAUGAUGUAUGUCCCGUUCCGACAUGGGGAGUGGUCCUAUAUGACCAUAACAUCGUGGGGACUUUGUCCACCUAUUUACCUUUCUUUUUGCCCAAACAUUUCUUGAUUCUAGCUACUAGGGUCCUGUUGGAUACCUUUGUAUGUCAAUUGGCUUGAGGAUGAGCCACGGAAGUGAAUCGUUGUUGUAUGUUAUGUUCUUCACACCAUUUCCUGAGAGGGUUUGCAGUGAACUGUAGACCAUUGUUGCUGACAAGUGUCCUUGGGUUCCAAAUCGUGUCAGAAUAUUCUUCCACAUUAAUUUGAUCAUGCAACGUCCGUUUAUUGUUGCUAUUGGUUCUGCUUCUAUCCACUUUUUGAAGUAGUCAAUGGAUACAACUAGACACUUGACUUUACCUAGGGCUUCUGGGAAAGGUCCCACAAUGUCUAUUCCCCAUUUGUGUAAAGGACAUGGACUAGACAUGCUGGUUAGCAGAGCUGCCGAUAAGUUCUAUAUUGGUGUAAACGUCUGGCAUUCUUUACAUCAUAUCGUGAUCUCGACUGCAUCCUUGUAAAUUUUUUGCCAGUAGAUUCUGAGGUGGAAAAUCUUUCCAGCUAGUGCUCUGGCCCCUUCAUGCAUGCGCACUUCUCUUGCAUGUAUUUCUUGUAGUAUGGACUUUCCUUCUUUUUGUAUUACACAUUUUAGCCAUGGUGCAAGGUAGCUUUUCUAUAUAACGUUCUGUUGUGAAUGGUAUACUGGGGUGAUUUGAUUUUUUUAUCUUCCAUGCUUCUACUCCGUCGUUUGGGAGGAUUCCAUUCAGCAAGUGGUCAAAGUAUGGUGUCAUCCAAUUUGGUUGGUCUGUUCUCAUUACGACGACUUCUUGUCUAUCGAUACUUCUUGUUGGGAGGAUCUCGAUGAGUACCUUUUUUUCUUUGACAUAUGGUCAAAUGAUGUUGAUGCCAACUUACUUAGUGCAUUUACCCGCUUGUUUUUGGAUCUACUUAUCUGUUUAAGGGUGAAAUGCUUGAAGGUUUCAGCUAGAUAUUUUACUGCUUUUACAUAUUUUUGCAUUCUUCCAUCUCACAAUUCAUAGAAUUUGUUGAUUUGAUUUAUUGCCAGCAUGGAUUCACUUAGCACUUACAUUGCCUCUGCCCCUAUUUUUUUGCUAGGCACAUCCCUGCUAACAAGCCUUCAUAUUCUGCCUCGUUAUUGGAUGUAUGUAUAUCAAAAUGUAAUGCAUACGUAACUUCUUCGCCCGUUGGUAUUUUUAAUACCAAUCCCGCUCCUAGUCGUUCCUUGUUGCAUGCACCAUCGGUAUGUAGGGUCCAAUAUGUUUCUUCUUCUUUCAAAGGUUUUGUUUGUCCAACUUCCACAUCACUUGUUUUUUGUGUCUUAUCUGUUGUAGUAAAUUCCAUCAAGAAAUAUACUAGGUCAUGUGCUUUAUGAUUGACCAUGGUCUAUACUCGAUAUUGUGUUCACCGAGUCCGAUUGCCCACUUGGCCAGUCGGCUGGAAUUAUCUGGUUUGGAUAAGAUUUAGCGGAUGAGCAAAAUAGUGAGGACUUCGAUCUGAUCUGCCUGGAAGUAUCUAUGUAACCUUCUAGUCGCAUGAAUUAGAGAUAGGACCAAAUUCUCCAAUAUUUAAUAAUUUAGUUCUGGUCCUAGUAGUGUCUGUUGAGACAGUAGAUUGGCAAUUGUCUCCUAUCUCUUUCUACUGCGAGGACUGCACUGAUGACCUCUUGGGAAGUGGCUAGACAUAUGGAUAGUGUUUCGCCUAGCCAGCGUUGGGAGCUUUUGGAGGGAUUUCUUUAGCUGUCUAAUGAGUGCUUUACUUUUUCUGCCCAUCUGAAAUUGUUUUUAUCUACACAUUCUUUUAGGGUUUGGAAUAAUGGCAUGGCCUUCUCGGGCCACUUCGAGAUGAAGCGUCCAAGUUUUGUUAUCUUUCCAUUCAACCCCUAUAUAUCUUACACAUUUAUGGGGGAAUUGGUUUCCCGAAGGUCUUUAAUCUUGCUUGGGUUGGGUUGUGUGUAACACCCAGUUUUCCAGGUAUAUUGAUUUAUGUUCUAUUUCUUUAAUUAUGUAAGGUGACUCGACGAGUUGGUGCUUAGACUCGUCGAGUCUGGUCGCGACUGGAUGACGUGGUUAAUGAGGGGACUCGACGAGUCAAUGGAGUGACUCUCCGAGUCAGAUCUGACGAAAGAAACUCUAAUUUCUCGGGUUUGGGGCCUAUUUAAAGGCCCUUAUGGCCUUCAUUUGCGGCUACCAGUCCACAGAGAGAAACCCUAGAGUGCUUGAGCGUCUUGAGAGAGAGAAAGGAAGCCAUUCUUGACCUUUGUGGUAUUGUUUAGCAAGAAGAAGGAGGUCCUAGCCGAGAGGAAGCAAAGGAGGUUGCUAUUCUGUGGAUUUGAAGCUUAGAUCAUCGCAUUUGAGGUAUUAAUUCGGCUCUUCUUCUGUUUUAUUAAGAGUAUAUGGAUUUAGGGUUUCUUGUGCCCUUUGCUAGGCUGAUUUGAUGUCCAAAUAGUCCCUUUCUGGUGAUGAGGCUUUGGAUCUGGAUCCAUAGAGGUCCAGAGAGCCUUACUCAUCAGGCUUUAUGAAGAACAAUGGAGGUUAUGACUUUAGGUUAAGGUAUUUGGGGCUAAAUCAUCAUAUAUGGUCAUAUAGAUGUUGCAUGUGCAUCAAGAUAGAGACUUUAUGUGAUUAUUGAACUUCGGAAGGUUAGAUCUAGGGAUUAGAGGAAUAGAUCUGGCCUCAGAAGGUUGUUUGAGGUUGUGCAUGAAAUGAACUCGCCGAGUCCAUGAGCAGACUCGACAAGUCGGAGCGGGUUGUCCCGUGACUCAAAUCAGUGGAUGACUCGCUGAGUUGGGUGAGUGACUCGGUGAGUCAGAAAGGAUUCAAAGGACUCGAGUUCACGUAUGGAGUCGACGAGUCAGGUCAAAGGUUGACCGUUGACCAGGGUUGACUAGUGUUGACUUAAUAGCAUUAGUCAAACUAAGCCAUGAAAGUAUUAAUUAGAGAUGUAAUUAUGAUAUAGGAGGACGAUAAGUCGGGGAAUCGAGCAUGAGUGAUUAUCCAACAUCAAGCGAGGUGACUCUUCUCACUAUGCCAUACCCGAUGGGGUGAUUAUGUGUGACCGAAAGGUCUUAUGUGUAUGAUGUUUAUGUGAUGCAUGUUAUAUAUGUGAUACGUUAUGAUAUGAGUAUGAUGAUAUGGACCGGAAGGUCAACAGAGUAUGGGCCGGAAGGUCAACAGAUCUAUGGGAUGGAAAUCCCCUGAGACACUUGGAUCGGAAGAUCCUAUAGAGUUAUGGCCUGGAAAGGCGUAGGUGUUGUAUGUGGUAUUUUGGGGAACUCACUAAGCAUUUAUGCUUACCAUUUGUGUGUUAUGUGUUUCAGGUACUAGUGAUGAUCGUAGGAAGGCGUCGGCAUGAUCGGUACACACUUGCAGAUGAUAUGUUUUUGAGAUCUUGGGAUAUGGAGUAUGUAUUGUGUUUUGUGGAAAUAUUGGAUACAUGAUUUUGGAAUGAUUUGAAAAUGAAAUGUUUUUACUAAAAAUUUAAAUAAAAAAAAUUGCUUGAAAUUUCGCGGUGUUACAAAUUGGUAUCAGAGCCUUGGUUUGAGGGAUUCGGAUUCACCUUCGGGCGUAUUUGAACUCAAACCGAGGAUUUGAGAGAGAUUUUCAUAAAAUAAACAAUUUUUCUAAAGAGUAAAGGAAUUUGAAAGAUACGCAAGGAAGUAGUGUGUAUGAUCAGCCAGCGCCCGAACGGUGAUUUCCCAAAUUACCCUUACAAUAUGUGUUUUGAGAUAUGUUGUAAUGUGUGAUGCAUGCUAGAGUAGGCUAGGUAUUCAUAUUAGGACUAGAGUGGUCUGAAUUGUGAUGCCUUAGCCUAGGAAGAUUUAUGCUGCCGUGAGAUGUCUUAGAGUGAGUAGGUAGCAGUGAGGUGUUAUGAUAGUCUACCGAAGGGUAGCUUAUGUGUAGUAAGAGAUAGAGUACUUGUGACUUAGGAUCCUUGGAGGAUGACUUGGGAUGAAUAUUGGUGCAGUGUGGAAGGUAGUAUUGGGCCCGUACUACUGGAAACACCGGACCAGUGUGCAGUCCAAGUAGAAAUCCUUAGGGUACUAGGAAUCAAGUAGGGUUGGGUUAACGAGUGCGAGUACACGCGAGCGAGUCCCUGAUAUUUUAUGUUGUAUUUCAGAGACAUCAUGGUUGGGACACGCCACAGAUCGGGGACUAGCGAAGGAGGAGUGAGUGAUGAGGAGCUCCGCCAGAUGAUUCAUGAUGAGGUGGCUGCUGCCAUCAGGGCUGAGAUACCAGAGAUGUUCGGGUCUAUCAAGACCACGCUGAUUGAGACCUUUGAUGAGCGGUAUGUUGCUCUUACUGAUGUUGCUGUCGCUGCAGCCACUGCAGCUGUCGCUGCUGCCAAGCCACAAGGGGGUGACUCGUUGCUGUAUCGGGAGUUUAGCAACACGAAGCCACCCGAGUUUGAUGGGACACAGGAUCUGAUUGCUGCGAUGAGAUGGAUAUCUGACAUUGAGGGAUGCUUCUACACCUGUUUGUCUCCAGAGCAUCUGAGGGUUCGGUUUGCGCUGAACCAGCUUUGCUUAGGAGCGAAGAACUGGUGGAAGUUUGUGACGGCACAUCUUACUUCUCGGAGAUUUCAGCAGUGGUCUGGGAGAGGUUCACUGCGAUGUUUCGAGGCGAUUACAUUCCCCUUGUGGAAAGGGAACGUUUGGCCCAGGAGUUCUUGACCCUCAAGCCGGGGACUGAGUCUGUGACAGUAAUUACGAGGAUGUUUCAUGAGCGGGCGUUGUUUUGCCCUGAGCACGUGUCGACCGAGCAUGCACGUAUGAGCCGAUACCUGAGCAUUCUGAGGAGAGACAUUCGGGAGUUCGUGGCGAACUCAUCAUACCGAACAUUUGCUGAGCUCCAGGAAAAUGCACGGAAGAGGGAGAUUGAGCUGGAGACUCAGGCCAGGGAGUAGGCCGAGUCACAGAGUAGGGAUAAGCGGUCGGCAUAGUCUCAGCCGACAGCCAAGUGGGGAAAGCCCACCGAUUCGAGAUCUGGGGGCCAGAAGGGCCGCACUUGCAUGAGGUGCGGCAAGGGGCAUGAUGGGGUUUAUCGGUCUGGUGCUUGCUACAAGUGUGGCAAGGAGGGGCAUGUCGCCAAGGAUUGUCCCAAGGAGUUUAUGGUUUGCUUUCAUUGCAACCAGACCGGACACCGGAAGGUCGAGUGUCCACAGUUGAGGGGGACAGCGCAUGGGACGCCGCAUGGGUCUACCCAUGCUGCUUCACGAGCUAUUGAGGGUCGGCCUGUGAAGGCCAAAGCACCGAAGGUGCGAGGGAGAGCUUUUCAGCUGACAUCGGAGGAGGUCCGUGCAGCACCCGACAUCGUGGUUGGUAUGUAUUAUGUUCUUAUUUAUUUAUGUUGUGAUGAGAUGUUGUAUUCAUAUUAUGCUAUGAGUAGGUACUUUCCUUGCAAAUUCUGUACCUACAUUGGUGUUAUUUGACUCGGGUGUGAGUCGGUCAUUUGUAUCAUUAGCAUUCAGUAGGCACAUCAGUAUCCAGCGAGAGGUGAUGAGUCGACCUCUACGUGUUUCGAUAGCUGACGAGCGAACAGUGUAUGCCACGGAUGUGAUUCGGGGGUGUGUGCUUGAGAUCUUCGGAGUUGGUUUUCCGAUAGAUCUGGUUCCAAUUGUGAUGGGGGACGUAUGUGUUAUCGUGGGAAUGGAUUGGUUGAGCCAAUUUGGGGCGGUAAUAGACUGUGUGCAGCAGUUGGUGACGAUCCGUGAUCCUAGUGGGGGAGUGCUGACAGUUUAUGGUGAGGGAACAAACUCGUUGUGGGUCAGCAUUCUGUUCGGCUGCCAGAGCGAGGCAGAGUUUGCAGCAUGGAUGCACGGGGUUCGUAGCCUAUGUGAUGGAUACACGGGAGACCGCUGAGAGGCCAAGUUUAGUUGAUGAUGUCACGAUAGUGCGUGAGUUCCCGUAUGUAUUUCCCGAGGAGUUGUCAGGUGUGGCUCCCGAGAGGCAGGUGAAGUUUCGCAUCGAUUUGAUUCCCGAAGCCGCGCCUAUCGCUAAAGCACCUUAUCGCCUUGCACCGCCAGAGAUGUUGGAUCUAUCCUCGCAGCUUCAGGAGCUGUUGGGGAAGGGGUUCAUUCGGCCGAGUAGCUCACCUUGGGAAACACCGAUCCUUUUUGUCAAAAAGAAGGAUGGUUCACACCGGAUGUGCAUUGAUUACCGGGAGUUGAACAAGUUAACGGUCAAGAACCGUUAUCCGUUGCCAAGGACUGAUGAUUUAUUUGAUCAGUUGUAGGGGGCAUCUUGGUUCUUCAAGAUAGACUUGAGGUCUGGAUAUCAUCAGAUGAGGGUGCGUGAUGAGGAUAUCCAGAAGACGGCGUUCAGAACACGUUAUGGGUACUAUGAGUUCGUGGUGAUGCCUUUCGGGCUCACCAAUGCGCCGGCAGCGUUCAUGGAUCUCAUGAAUCAGGUGUGCAGGUCGAUGUUGGAUCGAUCUGUGAUUGUGUUCAUUGAUGAUAUUCUGGUGUAUUCUAGAUCCCGAGAGCAGCAUGAGGAGCAUUUGAGGGAGGUCCUCGGGGUGUUGAGAUCGGAGAGGCUUUAUGACAAAUCUCCAAGUGUGAUUUCUGGUUACGGGAGGUCUAGUUCCUAGGGCAUCUCGUUAAUCAGAAUGGGAUUUUGGUCGAUCCGGCCAAGAUUGAGGCAGUGAUGAGCUGGGGGGUGCCGAAGUCACUCCGAGAUCAGGAUUUUUCUGGGAUUGGCGGGUUAUUAUCGGAGGUUUAUCGAGGAUUUCUCCAAGAUUGCAGUUCCACUCACUAGGUUGACCCAGAAGGGUGUUGCAUUCUCAUGGGGUCCAGAGCAGCAGAUCUCGUUUUAGACGAUUCGCCAAAAGUUGUGUGAAGCCCUGGUGUUAUCCCUUCCAGAAGGAGUUGUUGAUUUUGUGGUUUACUACGAUGCAUCGAUAUUUGGGUUAGGCGCGGUGCUUAUGCAGAAGGGGCAUGUGAUAGCGUAUGCAUCAAGGCAGUUGAAGCCUCAUGAGGUGAGGUAUCCCACUCAUGAUCUGGAGUUGGGGGCAGUAGUGUUCGCCCUUAAGAUCUGCACCACUAUCUGUAAGGGGUUCGUUGUACCAUAUACACGGACCACAAGAGUUUGUAGUAUUUGAUGGAUCAGCCUAACUUGAACAUGCAGCAAAGGAGAUGGUUGGAUGUGGUAAAGGAUUAUGAUUGUGAGAUCAUGUACCACCCGGGCACAGCGAACGUGGUAGCUGAUGCCCUGAGUCGGAGGGAAGAGAGUGCCCCGAUCCGAGGUAUGUGUAUGAGGAUGACCGUGAUGACUCCGGUGUUGGAUGCCAUUCGAGAGGCCCAGGCCGAGGCUGUGAGACCGGAGAACCGUAAGAAAGAGCGGGUGAUUGGGCAAGCAUCUGAGUUUGUUACUGAUAUCCGAGGGCUUAUGACAUUUCAGGGUCGUAUUUGGGUGCCGUUCAUUGGUGGGACACGUAGCAUCUUGAUGAAGGAGGCGCAUCGAUCGAGGUUCUUGAUCCAUCCCGGGGCCACCAAGAUGUAUUUGGAUCUGAAGAGAGAUUAUUGGUGGCCAUGCAUGAAGAGGGAUGUAGCGUGGGUUGUAGAGAGGUGUUUGACCUGUCGUCAGGUUAAGGCCGAGCACCAGCGUCCGCAUGGUAAGUUGCAGCCACUCGAGGUUCUCCAGUGGAAGUGGGAACAUAUCUCUAUGGAUUUCAUCACCAAGUUACCCAGAACCCCAAGGGGUGUCGAUGCGAUUUGGGUAAUAGUGGAUCGACUGAUGAAGAGUGCCCACUUUCUUUCUAUCAGUGAGAGUUCUUCUGCGGAGAAGUUGGCAGAGAUGUAUGUGAGGGAGAUAGUGUCUCGGCAUGGGGUACCGAUUUCGAUUGUGUCGGAUCGGGAUGUACGUUUUACUUCCAGGUUUUCGAAGAAGUUUCAUGAGGAGUUGGGUACGAGAUUGCAUUUCAGCACUGCCUAUCACCCUCAGACCGAUGGUCAGAGUGAGCGGACUAUUCAGACUCUUGAGGACAUGCUUCGCACGCGUGUAUUGGAUUUUGGAGGGAGUUGGGACACGUAUCUACCUUUGGAUGAGUUUUCCUAUAACAACAGCCAUCAUUCGAGCAUCGGUAUGCCUCCUUUUGAGUUGUUAUAUGGGAGGAGGUGUCGGACUCCCAUUUGCUGGGGAGAAGUAGGGCAGCGGGUGAUGGGUAGCACGGAGAUAGUGCUACAGACCACCGAGCAGAUUCAGCAGGUUAGACAGAGGUUGCUGACAGCCUAGAGCCGUCAGAAGAGUUAUGCUGAUAGACGGCGGUCAGAGCUCGAGUUUCAGGUAGGUGAUUUCGUUCUCCUGAAAGUCUCACCUUGGAAAGGUGUGAUUCGAUUCAGGAAGAGAGGCAAGUUGGGGCCUCGGUAUAUUGGUCCUUUUAGGGUGACCGCCAGGGUGGGCAGGGUAGCGUAUUGUUUGGAGCUACCUGCGGACUUGAGUCAGAUUCAUAAUACCUUCCACGUGUCUCAGUUGAGGAAGUGUAUCGCCGAUGAGUCGGCAGUGGUUCCAUUAGAGGACAUUCAGGUGGAUGCGAGCCUUAACUAUGUUGAGAGGUCGAUCGUGAUUCAGGAUAGGAGGAUCAAGGUUUUGAGAAACAAGGAGGUGUCAUUGGUUCAAGUCCAGUGGCAACAUCGGAAGGGGUCCGAGCUGACUUGGGAGCCGGAGUUAGAGAUGAGUGAGCAGUAUCCAAAAUUAUUUGUUGAGCGAGACUUCGAGGGCGAAGUCUGAUUCUAGUGGGGGAGAAUCGUAACACCCAGUUUUCCAGGUAUAUUGAUUUAUGUUGUAUUUCUUUAAUUAUGUAAGGCGACUCGACGAGUUGGUGCUUAGACUCGUUGAGUCUGGUUGCGACUGGAUGACGUGGUUAAUGAGGGGACUCGACGAGUCAAUGGAGUGACUCUCCGAGUCAGAUCUGACGAAAGAAACUCUAAUUUCUCGGGUUUGGGGCCUAUUUAAAGGCCCUUAUGGCCUUCAUUUGCGGCUACCAGUCCACAGAGAGAAACCCUAGAGUGCUUGAGCGUCUUAAGAGAGACUUUAUGUGAUUAUUGAACUUUAGAAGGUUAGAUCUAGGGAUUAGAGGAAUAGAUCUAGCCUCAGAAGGUUUUUUGAGGUUGUGCAUGAAAUGAACUCGCCGAGUCCAUGAGCAGACUCGACGAGUCGGAGCUGAGUCCCGUGACUCAGAUCAGUGGAUGACUCGCUGAGUUGGGUGAGUGACUCGGUGAGUCAGAAAGGAUUCAAAGGACUCGAGUUCAUGUAUGGAGUCGACGAGUCUAUGCAAUACUCGACGAGUCGGGUCAAAGGUUGACCGUUGACCAGGGUUGACUAGUGUUGACUUAAUAGCAUUAGUCAAACUAAGCCAUGAAAGUAUUAAUUAGAGAUGUAAUUAUGAUAUAGGAGGACGAUAGGUCGGGGAAUCGAGCACGGGUGAUUAUCCGACAUCAAGCGAGGUGACUCUUCUCACUAUGUCAUACCCGAUGGGGUGAUUAUGUGUGACCGAAAGGUCUUAUGUGUAUGAUGUUUAUGUGAUGCAUGUUAUAUAUGUGAUACGUUAUGAUAUGAGUAUGAUGAUAUGGACCGGAAGGUCAAUAGAGUAUGGGCCGGAAGGUCAACAGAUUUAUGGGAUGGAAAUCCCCUGAGACACUUGGAUCGGAAGAUCCUAUAGAGUUAUGGCCCGGAAAGGCGUAGGUGUUGUAUGUGGUAUUUUGGGGAACUCACUAAGCAUUUAUGCUUACCAUUUGUGUGUUAUGUGUUUCAGGUACUAGUGAUGAUCGUGGGAAGGCGUCGGCAUGAUUAGUACACACUUGCAGAUGAUAUGUUUUUGAGAUCUUGGGAUAUGGAGUAUGUAUUGUGUUUUGUGGAAAUAUUGGAUACAUGAUUUUGGAAUGAUUUGAAAAUGAAAUGUUUUUACUAAAAAUUUAAAUAAAAAAUUGCUUGAAAUUUCGCGGUGUUACAUUAUGUUUCCUUCCCUAGUGACGUAGUAGCCCAGGAGUUGUCCUUCUUGUGUCACGAAUGUGCAUUUCGUGGGGUUUAGCUUCAUUUGUGAUUUCUCUAACGUUUUAAGAGUUUCAUCAAAAUCUCGUGACAAAGUCGUUUCGUUCUUGCUUUUUAUGACCAUGUCUUCGACGUAUACCUCAACGCUUCGUCCAAUUUGGUUUUGGAAAAUCUUAUCGACCAAUGAUUGGUAGGCAGCCCUGGCAGUCUUGAGUCUGAUGUGCAUUUUUUGAUAGCAGAAAGCUCCAUGAUUAGUGUAGAAUGUUAUUUUAUCUUCGUCUUCCUUUUGCAUCCAUAUCUGGUAGUAUCCUUUGUAUGCGUUCAGAAAGCAUUUCCAUUUCAAACCCUCCAGCGACUCUACUUUCUGAUCUAUCUUGGGGAGCUGGUAGUAAUCUUUUGGGCAAGCUUUAUUGAGAUCUGUGUAGUCUACGCACAUUCUCCAGCUUUCGUUGUGUUUUCGAACCAUGAUUGGGUUGGCUAUCUAGGAGGGAAAGAUGGCCUCCCUGAGAAUGCUUGCUCGGAUGAUUUUUUCUACCUUUAUGUUUAUUACUUUGUUUCGGUCUCCAGCAUAGCCUCUCAUUUUUUGUUUUACUACCGUGUUGCCAGGUUUGACAUUCAUAUUGUGCUCUAUCACUUCUCGGCUUAUCCUAACCUUGUCUGUUUGUUCCCAUGCGAAAACGUGUUUGUAUUUUCGUAUCAGGUUGAGUAGUUUUCCUCUUGUCUGGUAGGGCGGUGUAGAACCUAUUCCAGCCUUCUGAUCCAGGUAUCUCCGUGUAUCACAUCUUUCAUUUUUGGUUCUUCUUCCCUUUGUCGCUUUUCGCCCCUUUGUGAUUUCUUAGGGUUUCAUAACUUGAUUGCACUCAAGGGGCUUCUUCAUGAUGGCCCUUGCGUUUUCCAUGCCUAUUCUUGUGGGGGAUUUGAUGAAGCCAUGAACGGUUGGUGCAACAGCUCCAAAUCGAAGAAUUAUUGUUCAUCCAAGGAUUAUGUUGUGCUUGGAUGUUGCCCGAACAAUGAUGAAGUGUAGUAAUAUUGUCUUCCUUAUUGCAUUAUUCUCAUAUUCUAGUGAGAAAGGUAGGAUGAUCGCGUCGAAUGGUGUGACAUUAUGUCCUGUGAAGCCUGCUAAUAUGCCUGGUGAUGGUUCCAUCAUCUCCCUCCAUUAGGGGAGGGGAAUUGUCUGAAGCAAUGUUUGAACAUGAUAUAUGUCACGCUUCCUCCGUCGAUGUAAACUUUGUGGAUUUUGUUAUUUUUUAUUCGAGCUUGUACUAUUAGAGGGUCAUCUCACCCCCAAUUCGGGGGAACAUAGUCGUGUGGUGAGAACUAUAGAUUUGUACCCUUUGGGGUUAAUAUGGUUGUUCUUGGCACUUUUGUUUGGUGCUGGAUCCGAAUGGCGAGUAUCUCUGACCUUUUUUCUGUGAUUUUUAGUUCUUCUUUGAUUGGUCUGGCUGCUAGCUCGACUGUGUUGUUUCGUUCCCUUAGAGUUCUGGUUAUUUCUUUGGGCUCCCCUUGACGGAUGCAUUCAUCUCAUUCUUUAUUUAGGAUGCUACAGUCGGUUGUAUCGCUGCCACGAACGUUUGUGGAACUCGUAAUAUUUUGACGUAUCAGGCGACCUAUCUAGAAAUUUUUAGGUGUUUUUUGUUUUUUCGUUGAUGGCCAGUAUGUUCGGGGGCCUAUGUCGCUUGUCAUCCCUUUGGUAUGGUUGAUAGGGACUGUGGAAGAGUCCUCUUCUGCUUCCAUAACCUCGCUUAGAUUGGUUGUUGUUAUAGUUGUCCCUUGGCUUUCCCUUCUGGGAGGUGGCUGCCUUCAAAUAUGCUUCCUUUGCUAUUGUGCCUUCUUCCUGUCGCAAGUAUUUUUGGACUCACUCAUUCAUUUCAUGUCUGGUCGUCGGCAUCUUCCCAAGAAAAUUUUUGGACAAUGUUCCAGGCAGAAGACUAUGGCCUCGUUUGUUUUUCUACAAAAGUACUUUUUGAGCACUUUUCCCUUCUGGUGGGUAGACGUUUCGCAAGUGCACGUCUUCUUCCGCAAAAUUGGAAAAAGACAAAAGACAUUUAACCACUUCCAAAACAAACAGCACCUAUGUGUGAAGGCUCCGAUGACAAGAUGGUCGCUCUGCCCUGGAACAUAUAGUGUGGCUUCAUUAAAGCGUUUGAAGUGGUCCCUUAUCAAAUCUCCUUCAUGUUGCUUAUAACCAAUGAUUUCUCGUACACCCCCCUGUAUUUUCUUAAUUGCAUGAAGUUGGUGAGGAAUAAUUCUUUCAACUCCAUGAAACUUUGGAUACUAUUUGGUGCUAGAUUUUUGAACCAAACCCCUGCGUUUCCAUCUAGGGUGGUUGGAAAGUGUGUGCACCAAAAUCGUGUAUCUAGCUUUAGUGAUUGCAUGUGUCAUUCGUAUGCAUCUAUUUGGCUAUCUAGACAAGUUGUUCCAUUAUAUAUUUUAGGUGAGGGAGUUUGGUUGUAGUGGGCAUGUCAUAUUCAUGUAGUUCUGGUACAAAUGGUGAUGUAUGUUGAUCUGAUGGGGUUGCGUGGUUGUUUACUUGGUUUUGUAGAAAGGUUGUUUGUUGGAAUAUGGAGAAAUUUGGAUGGUGUGCGUUAUUUAACAUGUUGGUGAAUGUUGGGAAUGAUUGUGCAUGAACAUUAUAAAAUGGUAUGUUGGAGUAUAUAAAGGGCGUACCAAACUGAACUGGUGAGGUGAACGUUUUUUUGUGAAUUAUUUGCCAUGCUUAUGAAUGGUGCAGCCACGGACGGUCGCGCCAUCGGUGUUGUGUAGAUCGGUUGGAAAGUCGGUAUUGGUUGCGCAUGCAUGUAAGGUUGCAUUCUUAUCUGUGGCGGUGUAAACGGUGGUGAGUUACCGGAGAGUAGUGAAAUUGGUAUUUGUGUCAUGUUUGGGGUGAAGCUAUUGUGGGUUGACUGUUGUUUACUUAUCGGAAUGAAUGGAGGUACCUAUAACUGCUUUAUCGACAUUCCUGAUGUAGGAGCAUAUGCGAUGACAGGGGUGGUCGUCCGACUUGUUUAAGUAGUGACUGGGUCAAGGGAUGGCAUUGGUCGGACAUGGAUUUGCAUCAUGUUUCCAAUAGCUCCUUCUCUGUCGUUUUCCGCGAUCGAGGUUUAGGGUUUGAAGCUUUUAGUAUUGUUGUCUCAACAAUCAGAUAACACCAAUGAUUUGAUAUUGGACCUUUGGGAUGACGGUGAUAGUUCGUUUGGAUGAGAUCCGAUGGAGAUCUAAAAUCACAACAGGAAAUAGGCCAUCAGCCGAUCUCCGGAAGGAGGUCCCGAGAGAGCGCUCUGAUGGUCAAGUCAAUCUCAGAGAGAGAAGAGUGUAUUGCGUAAGACUUAGAGAAUGUGGGUUCAACCUCUUUACCGUUGGAAGCACAUGGUCUUUUAUAGUGGGGUGUUGGGCGUGGAUCCCACUCGUGGAGAUAGAAAUAUCAGGCCCCGAUCAGGAUAGUGGAGUUGAUUGGUAGGUCGUACAUUUGUUCCCUAUCCGAGUCGUGAUUGGCUUAACCAUGAUAGUGGUGCGUACACAUUCACUGGGAUUACCAAGUGUCUACUUGUCGUCUAUCGACUUUCAUAAUAUAUGAUAUAUGAUAAACCUUUAAAAUAAUUUUUAAUUCGAAGAACGAAAAUUUGCAGGUCUUAUUUUUUAUAAAAAGUCAAACUCAUUUAACAAAACUUUUGUAUCCNNNNNNNNNNNNNNNNNNNNNNNNNNNNNNNNNNNNNNNNNNNNNNNNNNNNNNNNNNNNNNNNNNNNNNNNNNNNNNNNNNNNNNNNNNNNNNNNNNNNNNNNNNNNNNNNNNNNNNNNNNNNNNNNNNNNNNNNNNNNNNNNNNNNNNNNNNNNNNNNNNNNNNNNNNNNNNNNNNNNNNNNNNNNNNNNNNNNNNNNNNNNNNNNNNNNNNNNNNNNNNNNNNNNNNNNNNNNNNNNNNNNNNNNNNNNNNNNNNNNNNNNNNNNNNNNNNNNNNNNNNNNNNNNNNNNNNNNNNNNNNNNNNNNNNNNNNNNNNNNNNNNNNNNNNNNNNNNNNNNNNNNNNNNNNNNNNNNNNNNNNNNNNNNNNNNNNNNNNNNNNNNNNNNNNNNNNNNNNNNNNNNNNNNNNNNNNNNNNNNNNNNNNNNNNNNNNNNNNNNNNNNNNNNNNNNNNNNNNNNNNNNNNNNNNNNNNNNNNNNNNNNNNNNNNNNNNNNNNNNNNNNNNNNNNNNNNNNNNNNNNNNNNNNNNNNNNNNNNNNNNNNNNNNNNNNNNNNNNNNNNNNNNNNNNNNNNNNNNNNNNNNNNNNNNNNNNNNNNNNNNNNNNNNNNNNNNNNNNNNNNNNNNNNNNNNNNNNNNNNNNNNNNNNNNNNNNNNNNNNNNNNNNNNNNNNNNNNNNNNNNNNNNNNNNNNNNNNNNNNNNNNNNNNNNNNNNNNNNNNNNNNNNNNNNNNNNNNNNNNNNNNNNNNNNNNNNNNNNNNNNNNNNNNNNNNNNNNNNNNNNNNNNNUUUUGCUUUCUUGAAUUUGGAUAAAAAAAAGUUUUCGUUAUAUUUUAUAUUUUAUAAAAAUAAUAUUUCUUAAAACUAAAAAAUAAACACCUUCAAAUUUUAUUUAAAAAAAAAAUCUUUUUAGAAAGUCACUAGAAUAAUGAGAAGAAAUUAUCCUUUAAAUUUUUAUGAUUUUUUUCUAGGUGUUUUAAUAAAAAAAAAUAGAAACUAAAAAAAUAAAUUUUUAUUUCAAAUUUUCAUGAUUAUGUUCAUUUAUUAGUGAAUUAAAUUUUAAAAAGUUUGGUUUAUUAAGAAUUUUUUUCCAAUGAUUUUUUUUAGCUAAAAACAAAAUUGGUGGAAUAAAAGUACUAUGUAACAUAGAGCAGAGAGAAUGUGGCGGUGUAAACGGUGGUGAGUUACCGGAGAGUAGUGAAAUUGGUAUUUGUGUCAUGUUUGGGGUGAAGCUAUUGUGGGUUGACUGUUGUUUACUUAUCGGAAUGAAUGGAGGUACCUAUAACUGCUUUAUCGACAUUCCUGAUGUAGGAGCAUAUGCGAUGACAGGGGUGGUCGUCCGACUUGUUUAAGUAGUGACUGGGUCAAGGGAUGGCAUUGGUCGGACAUGGAUUUGCAUCAUGUUUCCAAUAGCUCCUUCUCUGUCGUUUUCCGCGAUCGAGGUUUAGGGUUUGAAGCUUUUAGUAUUGUUGUCUCAACAAUCAGAUAACACCAAUGAUUUGAUAUUGGACCUUUGGGAUGACGGUGAUAGUUCGUUUGGAUGAGAUCCGAUGGAGAUCUAAAAUCACAACAGGAAAUAGGCCAUCAGCCGAUCUCCGGAAGGAGGUCCCGAGAGAGCGCUCUGAUGGUCAAGUCAAUCUCAGAGAGAGAAGAGUGUAUUGCGUAAGACUUAGAGAAUGUGGGUUCAACCUCUUUACCGUUGGAAGCACAUGGUCUUUUAUAGUGGGGUGUUGGGCGUGGAUCCCACUCGUGGAGAUAGAAAUAUCAGGCCCCGAUCAGGAUAGUGGAGUUGAUUGGUAGGUCGUACAUUUGUUCCCUAUCCGAGUCGUGAUUGGCUUAACCAUGAUAGUGGUGCGUACACAUUCACUGGGAUUACCAAGUGUCUACUUGUCGUCUAUCGACUUUCAUAAUAUAUGAUAUAUGAUAAACCUUUAAAAUAAUUUUUAAUUCGAAGAACGAAAAUUUGCAGGUCUUAUUUUUUAUAAAAAGUCAAACUCAUUUAACAAAACUUUUGUAUCCNNNNNNNNNNNNNNNNNNNNNNNNNNNNNNNNNNNNNNNNNNNNNNNNNNNNNNNNNNNNNNNNNNNNNNNNNNNNNNNNNNNNNNNNNNNNNNNNNNNNNNNNNNNNNNNNNNNNNNNNNNNNNNNNNNNNNNNNNNNNNNNNNNNNNNNNNNNNNNNNNNNNNNNNNNNNNNNNNNNNNNNNNNNNNNNNNNNNNNNNNNNNNNNNNNNNNNNNNNNNNNNNNNNNNNNNNNNNNNNNNNNNNNNNNNNNNNNNNNNNNNNNNNNNNNNNNNNNNNNNNNNNNNNNNNNNNNNNNNNNNNNNNNNNNNNNNNNNNNNNNNNNNNNNNNNNNNNNNNNNNNNNNNNNNNNNNNNNNNNNNNNNNNNNNNNNNNNNNNNNNNNNNNNNNNNNNNNNNNNNNNNNNNNNNNNNNNNNNNNNNNNNNNNNNNNNNNNNNNNNNNNNNNNNNNNNNNNNNNNNNNNNNNNNNNNNNNNNNNNNNUUUUGCUUUCUUGAAUUUGGAUAAAAAAAAGUUUUCGUUAUAUUUUAUAUUUUAUAAAAAUAAUAUUUCUUAAAACUAAAAAAUAAACACCUUCAAAUUUUAUUUAAAAAAAAAAUCUUUUUAGAAAGUCACUAGAAUAAUGAGAAGAAAUUAUCCUUUAAAUUUUUAUGAUUUUUUUCUAGGUGUUUUAAUAAAAAAAAAUAGAAACUAAAAAAAUAAAUUUUUAUUUCAAAUUUUCAUGAUUAUGUUCAUUUAUUAGUGAAUUAAAUUUUAAAAAGUUUGGUUUAUUAAGAAUUUUUUUCCAAUGAUUUUUUUUAGCUAAAAACAAAAUUGGUGGAAUAAAAGUACUAUGUAACAUAGAGCAGAGAGAAGAUGGCGGUGUAAACGGUGGUGAGUUACCGGAGAGUAGUGAAAUUGGUAUUUGUGUCAUGUUUGGGGUGAAGCUAUUGUGGGUUGACUGUUGUUCACUUAUCGGAAUGAAUGGAGGUACCUAUAACUGCUUUAUCGACAUUCCUGAUGUAGGAGCAUAUGCGACGAUAGGGGUGGUCGUCCGACUUGUUUAAGUAGUGAUUGGGUCAAGGGAUGGCAUUGGUCGGACAUGGAUUUGCAUCAUGUUUCCAAUAGCUCCUUCUCUGUCGUUUUCCGCGAUCGAGGUUUAGGGUUUGAAGCUUUUAGUAUUGUUGUCUCAACAAUCAGAUAACACCAAUGAUUUGAUAUUGGACCUUUGGGAUGACGGUGAUAGUUCGUUUGGAUGAGAUCCGAUGGAGAUCUAAAAUCACAACAGGAAAUAGGCCAUCAGCCGAUCUCCGGAAGGAGGUCCCGAGAGAGCGCUCUGAUGGUCAAGUCAAUCUCAGAGAGAGAAGAGUGUAUUGCGUAAGACUUAGAGAAUGUGGGUUCAACCUCUUUACCGUUGGAAGCACAUGGUCUUUUAUAGUGGGGUGUUGGGCGUGGAUCCCACUCGUGGAGAUAGAAAUAUCAGGCCCCGAUCAGGAUAGUGGAGUUGAUUGGUAGGUCGUACAUUUGUUCCCUAUCCGAGUCGUGAUUGGCUUAACCAUGAUAGUGGUGCGUACACAUUCAUUGGGAUUACCAAGUGUCUACUUGUCGUCUAUCGACUUUCAUAAUAUAUGAUAUAUGAUAAACCUUUAAAAUAAUUUUUAAUUCGGAGAACGAAAAUUUGCAGGUCUUAUUUUUUAUAAAAAGUUCAACUCAUUUAACAAAACUUUUGUAUCCUUAUAUAUNNNNNNNNNNNNNNNNNNNNNNNNNNNNNNNNNNNNNNNNNNNNNNNNNNNNNNNNNNNNNNNNNNNNNNNNNNNNNNNNNNNNNNNNNNNNNNNNNNNNNNNNNNNNNNNNNNNNNNNNNNNNNNNNNNNNNNNNNNNNNNNNNNNNNNNNNNNNNNNNNNNNNNNNNNNNNNNNNNNNNNNNNNNNNNNNNNNNNNNNNNNNNNNNNNNNNNNNNNNNNNNNNNNNNNNNNNNNNNNNNNNNNNNNNNNNNNNNNNNNNNNNNNNNNNNNNNNNNNNNNNNNNNNNNNNNNNNNNNNNNNNNNNNNNNNNNNNNNNNNNNNNNNNNNNNNNNNNNNNNNNNNNNNNNNNNNNNNNNNNNNNNNNNNNNNNNNNNNNNNNNNNNNNNNNNNNNNNNNNNNNNNNNNUGCUUUCUUGAAUUUGGAUAAAAAAAAGUUUUCGUUAUAUUUUAUAUUUUAUAAAAAUAAUAUUUCUUAAAACUAAAAAAUAAACACCUUUGAAUUUUAUUUAAAAAAAAUCUUUUUAGAAAGUCACUAGAAUAAUGAGAAGAAAUUAUCCUUUAAAUUUUUAUGAUUUUUUUCUAGGUGUUUUAAUAAAAAAAAAUAUAAACUAAAAAAAUAAAUUUUUAUUUCAAAUUUUCAUGAUUAUGUUCAUUUAUUAGUGAAUUAAAUUUUAAAAAGUUUGGUUUAUUAAGAUUUUUUUUCCAAUGAUUUUUUUUUUUAGCUAAAAACAAAAUUGGUGGAAUAAAAAUACUAUGUAACAUAGAACAGAGAGAAGAUGUAGAAGGCUGACCGUUUUUUUUUUUUUUUUUUUUUUUUAAAAAACUGUCAAAUUGGUCCCUGUGGUUUGCAAAAAACUUUGGAUAAUCAAGAAUUUUUUUUGGUUUUGGUCCUUGAAAAUAUGAAAGGACUAUUUUGUCCUUAUUAUUUAUUUUUCACAUUUUUUUAUUUGUUUUAACUGUUUUAUAACUAAAAAAAGCAAAAGAAAAGAAAAAUAGAAGGAAGAGUCCACCCACUCUCUCUCUCACACACACAAAUAACAUGAAAAAAAAUCCCGGAUUGCAAUGAAAUAAUAGUUUGACACAAUGAGCUCCUCAUCAACGGUUGAUAACAUCUUUCAUUAUCAACCAUAUAUCUUCAUUUACAACACAUCUUCUUGUUGAAACACUGUAUAUCUUCAUAUGUUCAUCGAUGAUCUUCACAAAAAAGAUCUACCGUUCUUCAUAGGUUCAUCAGCUCAAAUCCCAGAUAUUCAUCAUCAUCUUCUUCGAAAACCAUUUCGAUUAUCUUUAUGCAAAACAAAAUCUGGUUUCAUAAUCGAAUCCCAAAAUAACUAGAUUCAACAAAGAUAUGUCCUUCCAUUUUCGUUUAUGUUUAAAACUAAAUCAUCACACUCAUAAACAAAAUUAUUACCUAGAUGUAUUUUUUUCGAAAACAAAUCCUAUCAGAAAGAGAAAACACGAACCUCCAUCCAUCAAGCACAAUUUUCCUUCACAGAAUCGGGCAUGAAAACCCUGAAAUCCGACCUUUAAAACCCAGAAAAUACACAUUUAAAGAUAUUCAUGUUCAUCAUCUGAAAUUGGACCUUGAAACCCAUGAAAUCGGACCUUGACACCCUUAAAAUCGGAACUUGAAAACCCUAAAAUUGGAAUAUAUGAAAUCAAAUUGUUGGUCUUACCUUCAUCAUAUGGGAACGUGAGUACAGAGGAAGACGCAGAUGCUUAGGAGUUGGGUUAUGUUCUUCGACAAUAAUUCAUUGAUUAGUUGUCACGGGAAAAAGAAAAUGGCAGAGGGGGUAGGUUUAGUGUGGUGAUAGUUGAAGGCGGCAUCGAUAUCUAAAACUACUUGGGGAUGAGGUGGAGAACAGGGGAGAAGCUAGAGAGGGAGGAAAUGGACAUGAGGUGAUAAUCGGUGGUAGUUGUGGUGUUGCCGGAAAUAGAGGUGUAUAUGAAUGGAGAUGNNNNN
RNAcentral lists this long non-coding RNA (47275 nucleotides) under Lactuca sativa (garden lettuce). RNAcentral's name for it is "long non-coding RNA (LSAT_LNC006211)". Lineage: Eukaryota; Viridiplantae; Streptophyta; Magnoliopsida; Asterales; Asteraceae. The record is from RNAcentral.